RNAcentral lists this long non-coding RNA (56905 nucleotides) under Musa acuminata (dwarf banana). RNAcentral's name for it is "long non-coding RNA (MACU_LNC003724)". The record is from RNAcentral. Lineage: Eukaryota; Viridiplantae; Streptophyta; Magnoliopsida; Zingiberales; Musaceae.
UAAAAGGUAGGUUUCUAUUAGCACAAUAAAAUGUAGGUUUUUAUUAUACAAUAACAACAAGCCAUAAUGUCCCAACUAUUUGGGAUCAGCUACGUGGGUCUCUUUGUCACUAUCAGUUUUUGUUAUAACCCCUAGAAAUCUAUAGUGGUAAUUCACAAAAGUUACCUGAAGAUAUAUGCUUGUGCCAAACUGGCUUUUUAAAGCAUACUCAUUGAAGACCGAAGCCAGAGAAGGAACAGUAACCUGAAAUUUUGUUUCAAGGUAAGAAUUUAUGACCACAAACUUGAACAAAACUAAGGGAAAUAUUAGAUGAUGGUCAUUGUAGAUCAAUUGAAAAGAUUUAGUAGAAUUAGUUGUUAGUUAGAAAGUAAUAUAUUUUGGUAUCAUUAAGAUAUUAUGUGAAAUUGCUGGAAAAAGGGAGAAGGUGCUCAAAACAACUAUACCAAACAUAAAAUAGUAAAAGAAUCAAUCUUGUUUUUCAUCUAUAAAACAAGUCAAAAGAUAAGUUCGUGGAUCUAGAGAAAACAAUAUGUCAAAUAAUGAAAUUGAGGCUCUUAAACAAGAAAUUUGAUUGGAGAGGUAAGCUAGAAAAUUGUCAUUAUAUAAAUUUAAGAUGUGGCAUUUUUGAGAAUGUCAUAGCAUAGUAUACUAAAUGAAAUCUAAUUGUAAGCCAGUAAAAUAAAACAAUCGGGUAAGUUUCAAGUCAUCCUUAUAUUAAUGUCCGGUUCAACAGUUAAGCACAACUCAAUCAUUUAUAGAAACUUCAAUUUGCAAACAGUAAUUUCUAGUUUCUCAAAGAGCUUUCUUUCCCCCUAGUUGAUAACACUUACAAACAUCAGUGUAUACAAGUAUGCACCCAUUGCAACAGGAAGACCAAGUGCAUUGGUAUCCUCAGGCAGUGACUUUAACUGAUUAACACUGAUUCCAAUUAGCAAAAGUGCAAGAGCCUCCCACUGUCAAAUAAUAAAGCAUGAAAUUAUUAGAAAAGUAUUGGCAUUCUUCAUCUAUUCUUAUAGCUCAACUUAUAUCAAUUUUGAAUAUAUAUUACUGCUAAAGAGGAAUAUGGCAUGUUCAGGAAUAACCUAAGAAUUUCAUGUACAACAUUGUCUUCCAUACCUUCAUUAUAUAAACUAGUUUACAUUAUAUAAACUAUUUAAGUGAUAAAUCAAUGAAGCUUUAACUUGCCUGGAUUAUGGAAAAGCGCCUUCUCAUAAUGAUCUUUAGAAGGACAGCAAUUACCAAAACCUGCAGGAGAUUAGAGCACCAGCAAAACAAAUUCAGGACCAGAAAAUUCUAUGAAUGCAACAUGCUUGAUAUAGGAAUGUUCAAAAUAUAACACAUAAAAUGACAAAAAUGAUAAAAUACAUAAUAUGAGACACACAAGACAAAUAAAUGAACUAACACAAAUACCAAGCACCGGAUGAUUUUUCUCUAUGAAUGUAAUGUGCUUGGUUCAUAUAUGGAACCUAUGUUCCAUAUUAGCCUGGGCUGUCCAUUCUGUGACGAAGAAGUUCUACUUGCCUAUAAGUUGCUUAUGGUGUUUGGGUCCUCUUCACAUGCAAAAUCAUGUGCAAAGUCCUAGUUGUUAUAACCAUAUCCACAGAUGCCUAUCAAUGAUAGCUACAGAAUUCCCAAAUAGGCUCAAAUAAAUUGAGGUCUAGCAUGGUGAAUGAUAUGACAAAUACAAGCAGAAACAGUCAUUUGAUGGUUAAAGACACUUUCUUAGUACUUCAGCAAUUUAAUUAUAGAACAACUAGUUGCCAUAGUAAAAGAUCAAUUAUAACAAUGUACAGUUUCAGACAAAAUAGCAAUAAAAAUGCUGAACUCUUCAUUUUUUGGGAGGAAGAGUAGGAGCCAGUUACUCCAAUUUAUUAAAUAAGAAUUGGAAUACAAGAAAAAUAGUGCUACUAAGUGAAGAUUUUGUCAGAUGUACCCUAAAUAAAGACACACCUAAGCCAUGAACAAUAGAGUGGCAUAAUAAAUGUAUCAAAAGUUCCCCUUUUAAAGCUAACUCCUAGGGAGCACAACUUAGCAGUGCACUCAUUUCAUCAAAAUUAUCAACAGGAUCACUGUUCAAUGCCCUGACAGCUUAUUGAUCAACAUAGGACUAGAAGUUGAUUUAAUAUAUUUAACCUUAUUAUUAAUCAAGUUUUGUCAGUCACAUUCAACACUGAACCGGACCAAUUUAUUAGUGAGGCAAAUUAUGUCAACUGCUUAUGACCCAAACACACAAACAAAAACCAAAACUACAAAUUUAUGUUGUGUUAGGGUCAGCUGUGUCAUAUAUUAACACCUUUAUGAAACCACUAGAAAGAUUUUUGGUUUAAAAUUAACUCUGAAUGAUUCAAACAAAAAUUCAAAUAAAAAGAAAAGAAAGAAAAACAACUAAACAAAAGCUUAUAGAUGUGAAGAGUUUGUAUGAGAAUGCACAUUCCAAUAAAAAAACCAGAAAUUUAGCUUUUUGCAAUAGAAGUUAGUCUAUGAAAACUUAUUAAGCAAACAGCUACUAACAUUUUUGCCAGAUAACCAACCUAAAGCACUUAGUACAAAAACAUUUGUCAAUCAAGUUAACACACAGGUACUAAUAGUUUCAGAAACGUAUUACCUUCAGGUUGCUCAACAUUUUAACAGUUGCAGGGUUAAAAUACAACUGCAUAAGGCAUAGAACAAAUAAUCAGCUUAGUCAAGAAAAUAUAAAUCUCCAAUGCAGCUAUAUAGGCUGGGUGAAAAAUAUUACCUUUAAUAUUUCCUGAAGAUAAUGGAUAAACAAGAAAAUGGAAGUAACAAUGCUUGAUCUGAUAAAAAAAAGACUAUACCUGCAUUAUAAAUUUCAGAUAGUUGUUGAUUGCAUAAAGAAGAGCAGGAAUAGAAAGAAGAACAUUAUUGCGAAAUGCCUGCAAAGAUAACAAAACAGUUGAAAGAAGAUGCUAAUGCUUGUUCACUAAAACAAAGUUUAAAACUAAUUGCAUUAUAACUUUUGAAACUGGAAGGAUCUUGAAGAGAAAUUAUGGAUAAAGUGAUAAACCACUACCAUGGAAAAUCCAAUUCUCUGGUAUAGUAGCAAAACCUUGUAAGAAUAGCUUCAGUUAGCUAUAUAUAUCACUUUCACAAGGCAUGCAUCUUUCCAUGUCACACCAAAUUCUAGACAAACAACUGCUAUCAUGAAACCUUUUAGAUGUAAUGAAAACAUCAAUAAGCAAUUAGUACCUAGCAAACUAAUUCAAGCAUAGUAACAAAAUGUAUGACAUUCCAAGAAUUUUGGUUUUUAUUUAAAAAUUCAAAGUAUUAACAUUAGAAUAUUCAUUUUGUAUGAUGAUCAACACAUAUACGAAAAAAGAUUUUAAAAGCAGCAUGCACAAACUAUCACAAAAAGCAGUCAAGCACAAAGAACAGAUCAACAGCUCCCUUCUAACUGAAAGAUUAUGUCACUGAAUAGGAAUGUGCUUCCAAAUCUAGACGAGAUCAGAAACAUCCAGAUCCAUAAGCUUGUUUCAUAUUAAGAAUCUAGAAUCAUAAAGAAAUCUCAUCGUCCACACUUUCUCAAAUUUUGCAACUUUUUUUGAUAAAAUAUGCAAUAGCAAGAAGAUAUUAAUUUUAGUUUCAACCAGAAACAUUCAGAUCCAUAAGCUUGUUUCAUACUAAGAAUCUAGAAUCAUAACGAAAUCUCAUCAUCCACACUUUCUCAAUAAUUCCACAACAAUGACAAGAACAAAAAUAACAAAGCCAUAGUGUUCCAACUACUUGGGGUGGCCACAUGGAUCUCUUCCUGCCUUUGGGUCAUUCAAACAAUUCUAACAAUGAUACAUUUGGAUAAAAAAGCAAAGAGUACUUAAGAUGAGAUGGACAUAACUUAUUGAUCCAAUUGGAGAUCUGGUUGCAAAAAAAAGGUUGCAAACACAUUAGGUCAAGCCAAACCCUUAAUAAAGAAAAAAAGUGAUAAAGAAAAUAGAAAUUGUGUUAUGAAAGUCAAUAGUAUUGCAUAAGAGUUUUACCUGCACGAAUGUGGAUAUCGAGAGUAGGGGUUUGUCUCCUUUAUUUUGUUUUUUAGCCUGCCAAUUAAUAAGUAAGGGGCAUGACAUGGCAUCUUAUAUGCUAGUAAAAGAUUAACAAAAUAAUACUAGAGCCAAGAACAUGCUCAAUUGUACCAAAGACAGCAAAAUAAAUGAAAAAAAGCGAAAACAAAAACAAUAUGGAUAUAUCAUAGAUUUGAUUCACUAAGUGAGAGAAAAAAAAUGGAAAGCUAUACACCACAGAAGUUGGAUCAUAUGCAACUAGAUACCUGAAAUAGCCAAUAUAUAUAGUUCUGUAAAAGUAAAUAAAAAUUGCAAGGUAGUCCAUGAAAGGCAUUAGCUAUUUUACAAAUUUCAGAAGUCAUGCAACUAUAUGAUUUGUUAUUUCCUAACAUUCAUAUCCUUUUCAAGGGGAACUAUUAGAAUCAUGCUCUCUAAUUGCAUGAAUCUAAGUUCACUAGCCCACUCAAACUAGAAAAAAGAAACCCAAUGUAUAGAUUUGCAGUUUGUCAUCAGAUUCCCAAUUACAUAUGUGUUUGAUAACCAGGCAAGGCAUGGUUUCUCUUAGUGCACCUGUGCUAUUUAAUAAUUAUAAUUACAGUCGAUAACCAAACAAGCUGUUAUUAUACCAUAACAGUAACCAUACAAUAACAGAUGGCAAGUCUGUAACAAAUGGUUGGGAAUACUUCAUCGUCAAUGAAAGCUUCAAGGGCAAAAGACAUCCAUUUAAAAAACGUUGCAAAUAAUUAUUAUAAUAUUAUGUUAUUAUAAAAAGUAAUGUAUAAGAAUUGGUGGACAAACAAGAGGUUUAGGUAAUGCACCAUGAGUAACAAUCAUCUACCAUCACAUAAGUUGCAUGGAAGGAUAUAACAAAAAACUAUGAAAUAAACUACUAAUGUCCUGCUUUCCUAAAAUUAUUUCAUAGUUCAUAACACAGUGACUUUUGCACUUUAUGUCAUAGAAAAGUUAGAUAAUAAAAUAGCAAAAAUACAAACUCAAGCGAAAAAAUUUAGUGAUAAUAUUACCAUACCUGGGAUAACAGCAUGAUGAUGGCAAAGAGAACCUUUGCAGCCUCAGUCAAAAAAUUAACACUGAUAGGACUAAACUUAAAGCUCCCAUCCACCUUAGACAUGUAGACUAGAAUAGGCUGCAACGAAUAGAAAAGCAUGUAACAUAGCAUUAAUUUGUAAUUCUAACAUUUUCCCUUUAACAUCCUUGAGUUCACAUAAAGCUUGUACUUCUGAUUUUUCUUUCCUUAAUAUCCUUGAGUUUAAUUAAUAUACGUGUUUAGAAAUGUACCACUAGCUGAUUCUUAUUAGAAAAAUGUGGAAAAAUAAAUUAAAAGAAAAGUUCUGCUGCCAUAUGUCUAGCAUGAUUAAUUAGCUGUUAUAUUUCAAGGUGAAGAGCACUGUUUUCUCCUUAGUAAAUGUCAAAACUUCCAGUAAUCAGCACAAUUAGAAUUUUAAAACUGCUGCAAUUUUCUUUGGUCUCUUCUUCUUUUAAUUAUCUAAUUCAUGUUGCCCUUCCAUGCACACAUUUCUUAGAGAAGAAUGUUACAACCCAUGAAGGAGGAUAGGGGUUUCAGAAAGAGGAUUAAGAUUGCAGGAUGCAAGCAUUAUGCAUGUUGUCUAGACCCAAACAGAAAAGUCUCAUGUAAUCAAUUAUGCAUGUGAAUAAACUACACUUUUGCGUGCUGCUUGCAAUCUUUCAAAAAAGGAUCCAGAGCCUAUAAGGCGUGCCUCCUUAUUUUAGCAUAUUAGUUCUUUCUUUUGAUGUCUUGAUACAAACCUCAGAAUGAGACUUAUUUGAUAGAUCAGAUUAGAGUUAUCUGUCAAAGUUAGUAAGAUUUCUGAGUAACAAGAAGGGGAAAGAAACCAGAUAGCUUCUAUUGUCCUUUUUCUUGGUUAUGUUAUCAAAAUAUUCCCACCCAACCCUUUUUCGCCAUGCCAUUUUUUUGCUACUGCUCUUCUGCUAGUUUUCUUUGCUAUGGUCCUCUUCUGCUGCUAGUGUUAAUUGGGCUCCUGAGCCCACAUAAACAUGGAUAAGUACUCUUUGAUCAUAGAUUUUAAACAGUAGCAAAAGUGACUACAUCAGAAAUGCACAGUGAGACUUUUUUAAAAUCAAAAGCCAUGAGGUUGUGGACCUCAUCUUCAACAAGCUUCUGCGAGUCAACCUUGGAACAGUUGAGAUAACGAUAGUAAGAAAAUUCAGUUUGAAAUAUAGGCAGCUAUGACUAGAACUAACAUAUUGAUCAUAGAAUUACCUGAAGGCCAACCAAGAUACAAUCGCCAGCAACCAGAAGAACUUUGAGAGCACGAUGUUUUGGUGGUGUUUUAUUCCUGUUUUUGUCAUAUGCCCUAGAUAUACCUUUACCACCUGGAGCUGGCAAUUUGGAAUGACAGUUACUGCAUUCUAUCAUACCGUCCUCCAGCAUUAUGAAACCUUGAACCUUAUCAAGCACAUUAAAUGCAGCUACAGGAUAGAUCUAUGAACUUAUUGUUGUACCUGAAAAUAUCAAAGAAAAACUUAGUUACAAUUAGUGAAGAAAAUUACUAAGUGCCUACCGUUCAAAAAGAAAUUCAUCCAAGAAGAACAUGAACCUAUCUGCAUUUGUCAUUUGCCAAGGAGAAUAGUUAUCACUGAUCUUUCUCCCAUGACCUAUUUUCAUACAGAGUAUCCAUGCCAAAAUAAACAUAGUAGAUGGUAGAGUUUGAAGAAAGAAUUUGAUAACCCAUAAACACAGAGCAAGAAUUGAUUACAGUACACCAAACAGAAUUAUCCAAAUUGCCAAACCAUUCCCUGCGAUCAUCACAAACCAAAGAACAAAAGACAAAACAAAAACUAACCAAAGUAGUAGAAGAAGAGAGAUGCGAACUAAGAUUAGUAAGCAAUCUACCACAAAUCAAUAGCUGGUCACUCACCAAAAUCCUUUGUCAAAUCAAAUUGGCAUUCCACAACAAACCGAAAUCACUAAGUCGCCCCAAAAAUCCACCUUCCUCCCCGCCUCAAUGCCAAAACCAAGCAACAACUCCACACAAAUGAGAGUUUCCUGGAGUGGUGAUCGCAAAAAGUAGCAAAGACGAGACCUUUCGAGAGAAGGCAAGGAGGAAGCAAGGAGAUCCGAAAGGAAUAUGCUACCAGGGAAUCGGAAUUGGUAUUAAUUCCUCUCUUCCUGUGUGCGGGGUCCCCAGCACACUACUGUCUAGUUGUUUAUGGUUUAGGGUUCAAGAUGUCAGCUACACCUGACCAUUCUUUCUAAAUACUUCCAAACCCAUGAACCCUGUUAACCUCCAAACUUCAUGUCGCCUCUUCCGCCCACACGUCUACCGCCGAAGCUUUGCAAUCCCAGUAGCAACUGGUAACACCCAGGACGCACUCCGAGGCUGCCGACCUGCAUCAUGAAUCAAACGGGGAGACGCUCCGGAGUCCAUGUCGGUUGAUGCUUCUGGGGUGUUCGACGAAUUGCCUGACAGGAGAGUCAACACGUGGAUUUGCAUGAUCUCCGGGUGAGCAAGAAAUGGCCAUUGACAAACCGAGAUCCCAUCUUCUGCUUGAACGAUUAACUAUGGCGUGCUUCGCGAAGACUUCCAGGCGUGCAACGCGAUCCAUGGCUACAUUAUCGAGACCAUGAUCUCUGCAAAUGUAAUAUGACUGAGAGUAGUGUUACCUGGAGCUCAUCGACGUCAUGCCUCGUCGACUUGUGCAAGCAAAAGAACUGUGAUGUCUCCAGUUUAGGGCUUAUCAAAUUAAUGAUUCACUUGUACCAAACUUAAUUAGUAUUAAAAAUAUAUUAUUAUUAAUUUAGUUUUAAGCAUGUUGGCUCAAUAGUUUAUACAUCUCAUCAUCCUCCUAAUAUAUUAAUUAUAUAUUAUCCUGUACCGCAUGUAGUUACUAUAGUUAUUAAAGUGAAAUAUCUAGUUUCAUUUAUUCUAAUGAUAUUAGUUUUACUGAUAAAAAUAUAAAAAUAAAUGAUAAAAAUAUAAUUUUAACGUUCUAUGACGAAUGUUAUUGAUGGUGGCGAAUAAUAACGUUGCUGAAGACCACGAGUGAUUGUUGUGGAUGAGGAGAGCGAUGGUAAAAGGUGAGGGUUAUUUUGCAUCUGCAUCGAUGUCAUGCAAUUGCCAAGUGGACCUUUCGCCGCUCCACAUUUGCAUCGACGGUCCUUUCACCGCUCUGCAUUUGCAUCGAUGGCCCUUUUAUCGCUCGGUAAUUGCGUCGAUACUGACACAGAUGCAAAGCAACAAAAGGGUCGCUCGUGUGAUUGUUGCAAAUGAAGGGAGCGGUGGCGAGAAGUGAGAGCUACUCGACAUCUACAUCGGUGGCCCUUUCGUCGCUCAGCACAUACGUUGAUGCUUAUGUAGAUGAAUAGCAAUGUCACUAGGCAUCUGCAUCAGUGCCAGCUCGACAACUAUAUCAGUGUUGACACAGAUGUAAAGUGACUCUCACAUCUCAUCACCACUCUCCUCAUCCAUAAUAGUCAUCCCGAGCGAUCCUUUCGUUCACUCUACAUCUGCAUCGACAUUGAUGCAGUUGUUGAGUGGCGAAAGAACCACCGAUGUAGAUAUCGAGUAGCGUCGCUCUACAUCUACAUCCACACCAAUGCAGUUAUCGAGCAACAUUGCUUGCAUUUGUGUCGGUACCGAUACAGAUAUCGAGCAGAUCUUUCGUCGCUUCUCAACUACAUUGACAAUGAUGUAAAUGCAAAGCGACGAAAAGGCUACUUAAUAACUGUGUCAACAUCGACACAGAUUGAGAGUAACCCUUACUUCUCACCAUCGCUCUUUUCAUUCGUUUUUGGCCCCCCGAUGUUAUCGUCUGCUACCACCAAUUGAAACAUUAAAAUUAUUUUUUUAUUCUUUGAUUUUAUGUUUUCGACGAUAAAAUCAGUGACGUUAGGAUAAAUAAAACUAGAUGUUUUAAUUUCAUAACUAUAGAAAUUUUAAUAAUAGGAUAACAUAUAAAUAACCCUCCAAAUUAAAAUUAAAAUAAAAAAUUAUUAUAUCAAAUAACAUAACUGACGCCCAACUCAAACAUAGUGAUUCAUUACCUAUGUCAGCAAAAAACAUAAUGAGCUAUCACAUGUGUGAACUCAAAUUCAUCACUCAUCACUCAUAUAAUAUUAUAUUAAUUAGAAAGAUCGGUUACCUACCUCAGCAAAGGAUAAUGAGCUAUCACAUUGUUUGAACCAGAAGAUGCUACAGUGUAUUGCGUAAUGAGCAUUCAUUUACCACAGCUUCAUUGUUCAUGAGAUUCUAUCAAACUGCUUCCCUGGUGUUCUGAUUCAUGUAUCACUACACGUGGAAUUUACGUCAUUCAAAUUUAUGACAAUACUACAUACGAGUCACAUCCAGGUGAUUACUCCAAAAAGAGAUAACAUGGGAAAGCUGUUCACACUUUUGUGUCAUCAAAAUACUUUAUGAAAUAAAUCCACCAUGCUUUGUGCAUCCAAUGCUGGUAAUUCUAAGAUUGUUGGAAAGAGAUGCUACAAAUUAUUUAUAUAUCUAGCAUGAAACACAAAUUGAUUACAAUACCCAGUGAGAGCUGCUUUCUUUCCAUAUUCUGAAUCUGUAACAUUGAAACAAGAAAAACACAACCUGAUGUGUAAAUAUUACACCAAUCUAUCCAUUGAUGUUGUAAGGACCACAUAUCAAUUGUGGAAUCAUGACCCCGCAGUCCAUACAACUGGCUAUACCAUAUAACAAGGUGAACCAAUGGCUGUUGAAAGAUAAAGAAUAUCAUCAGACCAAAUAGGUACCCCAUGCUAUUUCUUUUGUUCUCUCCUCUUCCUAAAAGGUACUUUUGUGAUUCAACUUUAGUACCAACCCUUUGAAAUGACUCUUGGUACAGGCAUAAAAUUGCUCCUUUGCGAUCUGAAUGAUCCAGAUUUGACCCAUGGGAAGAGUUUCUAUAUUGGUGGAUGCAUCAUGCCCUGGGUACAUCCUUUUACCAUUCUUGUGCACUAAAAUAUGAAUGAUUUUGUGUAUCAUAGCACAUCGCAUGUGAAGCACCAAGAAGAUGACUUUGUUGCAUCGCUACCUGAAGCUUUACUGCCCAAAUUCAAAAGCGGCGGUUUACUUUUGCUCACAUGAUUGUGUGCUUCAAUCAGAAUGUCUUGCAUUUUUCAUUAUUAAAAAUAAUUGCCACUGAACCUUCUUUUCAAUAGUUCAACCAGAGUAAUUCUUGCCAUACCUGCAUUCAAUAGUCAGCCAGACAUCCCGGUCCAAGGGAAUGUUCUGAAAGUGCAGAAAUGAUAGCAUAAAAAUCUCACUUAGCCCUCUUGGACCUAAGUCUCCUUGCAGCUACAACUUCUUUCUUGUGCCCUUUCAUCACAAGUCUCUUUUCAUGCUGCCAUACUCUGAACCUUUUUCGAUGUCUUAACCAACCUGAGUAAUCCUUACCAUGCGUGCCCUCAAUGAAGUCAACCAAAUCAGCCCAUUCUGAUGGAUCUUUCUGAUUUCCAGGUAAAGACUGAAUAAAAGUUUCACCAUUACAUGUAUUAGCUCCACUAAUGUAAGAAUUACACUUUGCAUCCUCAAUAGAAGUUAGACAUUUUGUGGACUGGUCUUCGUGCAUUUCUGUUGUGUGGUUUUUCCUAAUGUCAUCCGGCAAAAGCAAAAGUUAUUUUCAGUACAUGCUGGAGAACAGAAAUAACUUAAAAAUAUUAUCCAGAUGAAAAAGAAAAAAUAUAAACACCACAACAAAUGGCACAUAAACACAUUUAACAAUCAAUGCUAAUGAAAUCACUUGGCAGAAUAAUGUUGUUUUUAGUUUCCUGUCCUAAGAAUCCCACUCUCCAAAGGAUGAUAUAAGUGUUAGGAAUAUAGACCAGUUCCCUUAAUAUAUAUCAGUUCUCUUCCAAGGAAGCUUGUCUGGCAGUAGUUUUUCUUUUUCACUUAUUAAUAGGUUCUCCAUCUUUUAAUCUCCCACAAUAAUGGAUCUUUCACCCUAAAUCAGAAUCCCUUCACCAUUUCGAUGCCCCAUAACUGCUUCACCAAGGAAACUAAAAUAAUCAUUCUUCACCUUCUGUUUUUCAACUAAAAAUUUCAUCAAAGUAAUGUUUAUCCUCAGGUCAGCAUAUUAUUUUAAAUCUAAAGAAAUACGGGCCCUUACUAAUUAAUAUCUACAAAUGGGAUGUGGAACUUCUCCCAACCACAUUGACAUUGGUUCUGGGAUGCAAGAGUUCCAAAUUCACUUUUAGUUACUUUCAGUUUCUUAUGGUUUAUCUUCACUUCACUGGCACUUUUUUAAAUCUGUAACUUUGACCAAGUGUAUAUUUUCCCUUUUCUCAUGCAUACUAGAGCUGCCUAUCGUAACACUCGUUGCAGAAAAGCCUACAAGCUAUUUACAAAAUUUCUCCAGAAACCAACAUUUACAAAUCCAUUUGUGUUCAUACACUAAGAUUUUUAGGAUAGUAUAAUAAUUAAGAUAUUUCAUUUGCUUUGCAUCUUUGUCCUAUAAUUGUACAUAAGAAACACAAUAGCUUGGAACCUUUGUCAUUUUAAGUUAAACUUCCCCAUUAUACAAUUUUUUUGAUGUUACUAAACACAAUUUUCUUUGUAGUGUGAACUUAUAUACUGUUUAACCAAAAUAUAGGUCUUCACACUCACAAUUUCAACAUUUAAAUUUAUUUUGUCUGUGUUUCCUAUAGUAGGGACAGAUGUUGGAAAUCAAAUUAUCAAUACUCUUACAAAUACUAGAUAGGGAAAACCCUAAUGUGCAGGUGCAGGAUCAAACAUCAAAGUUCCAAGAAGAGAAUCAAGUCUCAAAUACCAAACAUACCAGUCCCCUCCCGGAAUGGUACAGUAUACCACCGAGCUAGGAAAAAUACUAAAAUAUUAGGUGGUAUCAGUACACCUCAAUAUUAGUGCAGUAUAUUGCAUUAUAUCAAAUAGGUAGACUGGGAUGAUAUGGAUGGUACAUUCGGUACACAAGGAUAUCUGAAUCCAUGGUUUCCAGAUUCCUUCCUCCUAAAGACAAACAAUCAGCUAUUGGCACAAUAUCAUAUGGUUCAUGUCAAGUUAGUCGCCUGAUAAAAUCCUAUGCAAGAAAUGAAAUUUUAGUUAGUCAAGACUUGAUUUGAUGCUAUUGAUGAACUAUCCAGAUUAAGAUGAAUGAGGCGGAAUUCACUGUGGAGGAACAACUCAAGUUUAUGGGUGCACAAUCGGUAAGAUAAAACUGCUUAAUUGUAAGUUUUUUUUUCUUUCUGAUAAGCUUGACAAAUCAUGCUUGUCAUGCAUCCUCCUAUAUUUUCAUUUUGCUUUACUUUUGAUAACAACUCUAUUGAAUUCGCUUAUCUUUGAUUCUUUUUUCCAUAGAGGUUUUUCUUUAAAAACUUUCCACACUGAUUCAUAUAGUGUAGGACAGUAUAAUAGACUUACAGACACCACAAACUUUUAACUAUUUUACAUAACUGGAUAGCUUAAGAUAAAUACAUAAUUUGACUUGUAACAUAUACUUGAUUCAUAGACUCAUAUCCACAUGAUUUAAACUAUAAAGAAAACUAGUUUUUUCCAUCCCAUUGCACGUGAUUCCUUCUCCACAAGCUUUAAUUUUAUGUUAGUGAAAGAUCUUGGGCUAUUUACUUUUAAAGGAAAAAGGAUAAUUAAAAUACAAAUCUAGAAAAAAAAUCACCAUUGAAAGACAGGAACGGACAGAAUGAGCAAGCGAUUGUUGGGAUCAACCCUAUUUUUCAUUACCUGUUUCUGGUGAUGCAUCUGGUGGAAGACGAAAUGGCGUAUUUAGCUGUUAAUACAAUAAAACAAACAGAAAGAAAAGGAAGAAAAACUUGCAAUAUGACGUUUAAUAAACUAGAAAAAUGUUAUGAAAAAGUUUCUAGUAACAUAUUGUGCUGGGUUGAGAAACAAAGGGAUGGCUAAUCGCUAUAUGGAUGUUAAUUUUUAUAACUACAUAGUUAAUACAUUUGUACUUCAAUAUCUUAGAAGAAAAAAAAACAUUACAAAGAAUUAAAAUAAGAAAGAGUCAUCAACUUCAGAAUUUCAAGUUAUCAAACAUCUUUCUCCUUGUUUUAAUUAUUAAGCUAAUGAAUUUUCUAAACCACAAGACCUUAGAAAUGGAUCAAGCAGAUGAAUGCGUAGAUAAAUAGAUCGAUCCAAAAGAGUAAUCCAACUAAUACUAUGACACCAGCAUUCUAUCUUGCUCUUGCACUUGGUGCCACAACCCAAGAUAUUUCAUAUUCCAGUAACUUUAAUGCAUCCCAAAAUCCUCAUCUUUGUGAUACUAUUUUAUAAGAUAUUCCUUUCAAAUAACAUCUAAUUAUAAUAUUGUAGCUCUUACAAUUGACUUCUAGCUAAGGUUUGCAAUACUGUCCAGUACAGUAGAUAUUUACCAUCCAACAAUCUACUGAUACGUGAAACAGGGUAAAUCAGAUGAUAUAUCUGGUCCAGGACCUUUGCCACCCAGUACACAUCUUAUACUCGAUACAGGGCAGUAUAAGCCUGUUACCAGGCAGUUUCUUUUGUUUUUGUCUUUUUAAGCUUCUUUUCAUUAUUUUUUCAAAACUCAAUAUGCACUAGCAUCCCAAUACUCGAUACACAGGUAUGGACUAGUAUUGAACCUGUUUAAGCCAUGUCUGAUACAUGAAAUUGUGAACCUUGCUUACAACAAAUUUUCUUCAAUCAAAGAGUCACUCAAUUAACAAUGCUUUAUGAGCUAUAUGUAUGAAAAUUGUAACUUUCUAAAUUGUACAAAAUAUGUUUUCAAGAAAACAUAUUAGCAGUAUAUUAAUUAUUGUGUCUGCAUCUUGUGUCUCAACUUAUGAAACAAUUUAUCACAAUAGUGAUUGAUCAACAAUGAACUUAUGCAAUCCAUGUCAUUAGUUCAUAAGUAAAAACAAUGAUUAGAUAGCAGGUUAACAGCUAGUAAUUUUAGAUAGAUGGCAGGUAAAAGACUAAAUAUUGUGCAAAAAAAAUAAAAAUAAAAAUAAAAAAUUUCACACAUCUGCAUGGCAUACCACUAAUCCUAAGAGGACACAUAGCAUCUUACCUCAAAUAGAGCAUUUGAAUAUGAUGCAAGUUUGAUGCUACUACUGAACUUCUACAAGUUGAUGCCUGUGUAAAACGAGCUUUCUCAUCUACAAAUCAAAACACAAAACUACCAAAGAAAAGAAAGAAAAAUAUGAAUCAACUAGUAUUAUACCUUUAUUUGCUUUUCUUCAGAACUUUGCUGAAUUGUUACUUUCGAUAUAACAACCAAUGGCAUCAAUACAUCCAAAUUACCCUCUUCAAAAAUAAGAAGAUUGAGAAUCACCAUCAUCAUAAUAAUGCAACUAUUCCACAAAAACCCAAGCCUUCUUCUGAAACUAUGAUAUAAUAAGCUUGCAAAAUGUGCCAACAUCAGAUUUGACUCAUGUUUUGCAGAAUUUGAUCCAAUAACAUCCAGCAGAAUUCUCUUAACAAGUUGAUUCAAUUCAUAUUUCCCAAAACAACUGAUAAUGCCCGCUAUAAAAUUAUAUUCCCUGCAAGCAACCUUAUUACCCAAUGCUUCAGAGCCACCUACACACCCUUUCUGUCUCAAGUUCCAUAUGAUUUGCAAGAGUGAUGAACUCAUUAACUUCAAUACAGCAGCAAAACAAUACAUCUCUUGCGAAAUUUUGCUUUCAUUUUCAUGUUUUGUGUCUUCCACAUUUUCUUCUGAAAGAAUAUUUAUCACUAUAUAUUGUAAAAUUAAACAAGCUUCAUCCCUGAAAAUGUCAUCUAAAAUAUGACUAUUCUCUUUGAUGAAUGCAAAAGAUUUAUUUGCAAUAUCUGCUUUUGUUUCAGAAAGAAAAUCCUGAGAGUUUAAGCAACAGAAUUCAAACAAAGAGUCCAUCUGAUGUUGAAGUUUAUAGUAGGUCAUGGGUUGGAUACAAGAAUCAAAAGAUAAUUUCUUGUCAUGAUAACAUGGCUGAACAUGCUCUCCAUUUAUAUUACUGACAAGUCCUAUUCUUGAAAUGUGACCUAUAUAAACAUUGACAGAAAGUUCAAAUGCUAAGAUGUGGGAAUUCAUCAGUUCCUCAUUCAACCCCCUAUCAACUUUAGGCCUCUGUAUGCUGAUGCAUUUGGAAGCCCACGAAAGCAGAUGUGCUUCAAGCAUACAUGGUAUGAAGAACAUGUUGCGGAAACCUAGCAAUGUCAACAUUGUGCUCAGGCAUAUUUCAGAUACAUCAUUCUCAACCUCAUUGGCCCAAGACAGUGAGUUAAUAAAUCUAUUGAAUGUCCACUCAUCAUUAGUUGAUAGAAGGAAAUGACUGGAAAUAAUCUCUUGAAUAGCAUAUAUAUCGCCGUAACUGCCAUGAGAUACAAAAAGCUUCUGUUCUGUGACGGAAACAUUAUCUGUCAUUGUAAAAUGUUUUCUCAUUUGGCAGUUCUUCAGAAAUUCAUCAAUAAACACCUGGGAGUGACUGACCAUAAGUAUUUCAAAUAUGCAAGAGUAUUAAAAUGCAAGCACAUAAACAUACUAGAAAACACACACAUCUAUCCAGAUCAAUAAAUUGGAAAAUAGUGUAUACCAGAAUGGAAUAAAACAUGUAAAAAUAUUGCAAUUCUUAGAGGAAUGAGCACCAUAACCCAAAUAAUAAGUCAGAAGAAAAUAAAUACGGUUAAUGCAUAUUUCACUAUUUUGCUAUUUCAUGAGAUGCGGCAUGCUUUUAAAUGUACAUUUCAAAGCACAAUUGAUCAUGUGGACCAAGUUACAUAGUGGCUGGCCGAAGCAUGAAAUCUAUAAACAAAGUUAGGAGAUGGAACCAGCACAUUAGUAAAAAAAUCAGAAUAUUCUCAGAUUUACCUAACAACAACAGAAUCUCAAAAUAAACAAAGGUCCAUCUAUCACUUGUCAACAUUAAUUUUGUGAUUUUUCCCAUUUGCAAAAAUUGGUUCUUGACAAUUAUAUAUUUGCUAGCAACAUUAUCAUCAUCCUGAAGUUUUAAGUUUUGAGAUAUCAAAUCAAUCUAAUAAGGUCUUGCAGCUCUUUAUCUCAAGGUCUAGGUCAUCAACACAAUUGUAUCUAUAAAGUUCAAGACUAAGGGAGGGAUCUUGAGCAUGAACUCCAUUCUGUGAAAGUUAACCCCCAAGUGAUAGAGAGUGAGUAUUGAUAUUAGACUCAGGUUUCUAAAGUUUAGCAAACUUCAAAUUAACUUUUGGCAUGCCAAACUAUUGUUAACGUCAUAAGGUCUCUGAGAAGUAAAAUCAAGUUUGACCUCUGAAUGCUUACAAAGGAUUAGAGUUCUACAGCAUCAUUGUCCACGGUCAUGUUUGUUGACAGAGCACGAAAUAUCUGUUACGAAUCUUCAUUAGCAUUCACGGAUCUGUCAUGUCGACUAGAUUACUACAAAGUAGGAACAAGUAAGUUCUCUUGUAUCUAAAUAUUAUCUUUUUUUCCCUUGUUGAGUGAACACUGUGGAUACUCUUAACAAAAGUUGACAACCAUAGGAAAAUAAUAAUUCCAAUUUUCAACAUUCAGGAUAAAAGUGACAUUUUAGAAGACAUCCCUUACAUGAAAAUGAUCGCAAAAACAAUUCAUAUGAAAGACUAGCAUACCAAAAAUUACCUCAAGUAUUCUUCGGAAAAAGGAAAGCAUUGGCCUUCUAGCUCCCUCAUUUGGCCCAUUUAUCCCAAUUAGAUCACUAGGGCACCGAUGAGAAGCCAAGCUUGUGACCCCACUAAUGAUAUUAUCUGCCUCAGGAUGGAGUUUGCAGCUACAUAAAGCAAAUGGUAAAUUUGGUACACACAACCUCCGGAGAAUUGACAAGAGAAUCUUGCAUUUCUCUACAACCAAGCUGAGGUCAAAUUCGAGAAAAUGCAGCAUGACCAUGCAACACCUCAACAGAAGUACGAGUCCCUCCUGAUAUGAAUCAGUGAACGUGGAAGGCACUGGGUGGCCUACGUCAGAGAACAACCGUUCGAACUUCUCCUCUAGCUCACGAAAGAACAAAUUGGACAGGUAAGUGAGGUCAGCGAACUCUCUUCCUGUUUCCAGCCACCGAUUAGAGACGAACUCGGAAGCGGCGGAAUCUCCAAACCUUCGACCAUCCCGUCGACACGGUGACUCAUAGGGAGAUAAACGCAACAAAAGCUCGUACAGAGGUCUCAGGAACAUUGGGAGCCAGAGUCUGGGUGAAUUGGACCACCCAGCAGCAAUCGUGAACGAAGGGAUAUACCAUCAAGAUCUUCUUUUGGUGCAAAAAAAAAAAAAAACGCAAAAACGACGAUGAGAUAACAAUCUCGUCAUUCUUGGAAGGAAUGACGCAGAUUGAUCCAAAAUUUUCUGAAUUUUCUGAAGCGCGAGACGACAAAUGGGAAAGCGGAGGUUUACCUGAAUCGCAGGCGGCCACGCGAGGAGCGAAACGAGACGGCCGAGAAACAGGAAGGCGAAGCGAAAAGCUUCGUCGUCGUCUUCUUCUUCUUCUUGAAAACCCUAAGCGGGGAUGGAGCGGGAGGAAGAGCGAGCGCGUACGAUGCCGGCCCCAAAUCUGGUAACUCGCGGUCUAGAUUAGGAACAAUAAAUCGAUAUCCUUUUACUUACGGGGGAACCCCAAAUGGUAUAUGUAUACUUGGUGAUCCUUUAGGUAAUUAUCCGUUCAAUUGCUCUCUUAAUUAGGAAUAUAUAUUCUUGCGAUUAAUUUAAUAUAUAUAUAUAUAUAUAUUCUCAUGUUAAUACAUACUAUCAAUCUUUAGAUUGGGUGAAAAUAAAUUAACAGUGCUUUAAUAAGAAAAUAUUAUCAUAUUAUGUUGAUGUGGCAUAAGAAAAUAUUAUCAAAUUCAAAUAUUUUUUGAUCUUAGACGAAAGUAUCAUAGAUAUGAACGAAAGUUUUUAGUCAUGUUCGAUACUCGAGAUAUAUUGCCCCAAUCAUCGGUAGUAUGAAAAUUUCAAAUCUAAUUUUUGCUAAUGAGUAAUCCAAACACUCCUAGCCUAUGAACAUAAAUAGGAAAAAUAAGGUUUCGUUCAUCCUCCUCCUAUUCACCACAAGUGUAGCAGCUCUGUAUAAGUACAUCAUAUGGACCCCCGGACAAACACAAUAUCUGCAUGCUUAUAAUGGCUGCCCCUUGCAGUCAGGCUUCCAUACAAUUGCCACUAACAAUGGAGUGACAAUUUUUAUGCAAAUGAGAAAUGAUGUAGACGAAUUUUUAUCCAGAAUCAAUCAAGUCAUGGUUGUGGACAAUUAUGGAUCAAAAACACCCAACUAUUUAGAAUGCUAGCAUCACUAAGAUUGCAAAACUAGUGUUUAUUGCUCAUCCAAAUAGUUGGAUGAGGAAUAAACACUAGUGAAUGGAGCAUUAGAUGAGCAAUAAAUGUCCAACAAACUAGAGUGUUUAUGAUAUAUAUGUACCAGAGCCAUAUACCAGGUGCAGAAAGAUACAGGAAAUUUUGGUUCCAAUCCUUUCUUUAAUUUAAAAAAGCAAAAAAAACACAGAAAUUCAGACUCCAUGAACGAUAUCUAGGCUACCAACUUAAAUGUGAAACCCAGGUUUGGGCUCUUAAGUGGCACAAAAAGGAAACAAAGAAGAGGAACAUUGUCUCAUCAAAAUUUUACAAAGUACUUUCAUGCAAAUCUAAUGAGAUCGUAAUGAGGUCUUCAACAUCAUAAAACAUUUUUGCCAGUUUUGCCGUCCUAAUCAGGCAUCGUCCAUCACUCACAGAACAUGAGAAAAUCAAUGGCUGUCUGUCAGCAAGAUCGAAACGAAAUAUCACCACAUGAACACAGUCGAUACAUCCCAGACCCUACAGUCCAUGGCUGACAUCCAAGUUAUGCUGGGGAAAACAUUUUAGUACCUAUCAUGACGCCUGCAACAAGACAUUAAAAAUGUCAAAUUGAGCUAGUCAUAAUUUUAAAUAAAUGAAAGCAAUAAAUCUAAUAAAAGCAAGGCAAUGCUUGCACAGGAAAACUAAUGUGAACUGAAAAAAGCUGCUUGGAAUAUAAAAAUACGUUUUACAUAUUAUGUCGAUUCCUCCUUUUUUCCGUUGUUAGCUACAAACUAAUUUUGAAAUACCAUGACAAAUAGCUUGUCAAAAUUCUCAUAGUCAGCCGGUGUUUGUUCUUGACUCACGAUAUCUGAUAUCAUAUAUGUUCCAAUGACAAAACUGUAUGGAAAGAACAUACAAUAUUCCACUCAUGAUACUGAAAAACACACUAACAUAGCAUAUGACUUAUCAAAAUUGCUUUGCUAUAAUCUCCCAUCGUUUGAUCUUGACUCAAGGGACAUUAGCUACAAUUUCAUUGACAAUAUUUUAAGGAGAAGCACACAUAAUAUUCCAUUCAUGAUAUUGAAAAAUAAAUUAUUAGAAAACAGGAAAACAAAAACAUCGCAGCUGACGACCACAGAAUGAUAUUGACCAUCAAGACUACUACUAGGCAAUGCAAUGUGGAGAAAAAAUGGAAUCCCACAUUCACCAAAAUAUUGACUUAACCUUGCACAAAAAAGAAGAAAAAAAUAAAAUGAGUUCUCGAGAGAUAUUGCAGGAUGAGGAUUACAGAAAUCAUAAUAUUGGCCAUCAAGAGUCUACUACUAGGCAAUGCAAAGCGGAGGGAAAAAAACCCACCUUCACCAUAAUAUUAACCGCACAAAAAACGCAAAAAAAUUAAAAUGUGCUCGAAAGACCAAGUGAAGGUUUGAUAAAGAGUAAUUUAUGAUGAGAACACCAAAGAUAUGACAACAACUAAGUGAAUGAUAAAUCCCAUAUUUAUUUGCUCUUGGCCACUAUUAAUAUGAAAAAGAUUAGCAUCACUUUCUGCAAAUUUAAAGUUAAACCAUGUCUUAAGAAAUAUUUUCAAACACUCACAAGUUUAUACAGUGUUUAGCUUAGACAACCAACUCAUGACAAAUAUGGUUAAAAAAAGCAAAAACAAAUUCUAAUGUGUAGUUUUUGGAUUGCACUAGCUACUGAAUGAACAAACAGAAUAAAAAUAUUAAAAUAUAUAUACAGCAAUACCUAUGCCGGUCAUAAUCUCUGCCACGAUCCCUUGAUCGAGAACGUGACCUUCUUCGACUCCUCGAAUCAUAGUUGCGAGAUCGAUCAGUAUCUCUGUCUCGGUCUCUAUGAUCUCUAUCAUAAUGCCGAUCAUGAUCCCUAUUUCUUCGAUCGUGUUCUCUGCCUCUAUCUCGAUUAUCACCUCGAACCUCUCUAUCUAUGUCUCGAUCCCUGCUUCCUGCCCUGUCAUGAUCCCUACUCCGUUCUUUCGACCUAAGGCAUUAAUUUAAAAAUAUCGUUGUAGAUUAAUGGCAUUACAUAGGGUUGUCCAAAGCAUGGCAAACAAAGUAAAUACCUUCUAUCAUCUUCAGAACGGUCAAUCUUCCGCUUUUUGUUUCUCUCUUCCUGGGAAAAUAGUUGUGAAGACAUUGAUAUUGAAAAACAAACAAGUGGAUUAUAUCUAGUCAAUCGCAACCAGAAUAUGAUGUUCAAUAUGUCAUGAAGUCAAAAAGCAAGGAAAAUAAAGAAAUUGAAGAUGGACAUUGAAAGAAAAAUUUGCCUUUGUCAGUUGAAAAUGUUUCAAUUAUCAAUAUCACUGAAGGUAUCGAUAAAGUGCACAAACAAUUGGACAACUUUCACUGGCUCCCAGUGAUAUGUCAUAGAGGUUUUAUCAGAUACUUUUCACAAAGAGAAUGAACAAAUGAAACUAACAUUGUUCUUUGUCUGGAUGAACACAUCAAUGCCUACUCGAGAAAGUACUUGUAGCGAGACUCACGGUCAAUGAACUAUAUAGAAGCCUUUUUACAACAACUGUCAGCUGCAAAACGUAAGCUAAUGGCCAAUUCAGUUGUCUGUUUAUCAAUUGAAAUCAAAAUGGUAACUCAAACUGAAGCUUUCAAAAAGAGAUUUCCAAUUUUCUGCUAAAAAAUUGAUCUUAUGAUCUAGAAACCAACAAUUUGGGCCAGGACAGAGCAUUAAUUUGGGCCAGAACAGAUACCAAUGUCCUCAUUUCAAAUUGUAUAUUUUGAAAAGUUCGCUUCCAUGCCAAAUAAUUCAUUCAGAAACACUUAAAUCAGAUAAAUAGUUAUUGUUAAGAUGGCCCACAAGUUACCUAACAGGUGUUAUGAGGUCUCUUUCGUUUUUAGCAUCAUAUCCCAAAUUACAACUAAAAACCAGGCCCAUAAAAAAAAAAACAAAUUCUUCAAGAUAAAAAAGAAAAGAAUCUUCAGCUACCAAUUUUAAUAUGAUUUACAUACUGUUCAUCUGCUUACAGUUUCUUUCACUUAUGUGAUUGCAGUUGUCCAGACAGGGAAUAGGAAUGAUUCUCAGAGCCCAUAUAUGGCCACCUUUGAUAAUUCCAAAGAUCCUCCCACAUCACAGUGUGCUAGCCAAAAAGAAGUGAUGACAGAAAAACAUAACCACAUGUUGAAUUUUCAUUGAGAUAAGAAAACUCACUGAUGUCAAAUUUAAGUGUAACUCUUUAUUGCAGAAUGUCAGACAUUAAACCAGCACCUGACGAACAUGUUCAGAGAUCGAACUUCAAAGACAUUUAGUAACAAGACAAACCAAAUCAACACAGAAUGUAAACCAAAAUAAUAAGUGCAUCCUGUUCAGGAUUUUAUGUACAGUACAGCAGCAUCAUCUAUCCCAAAGAAAGUGAAUAGUUCCAAAUCUAAGAAUGCAUCAAAAAAUUCUAGGAUAUUAAAUUGUACAUAAAGAAAUGACGUGUAAAGGUUACCUGGAGUUCUGCUAGUUUCUCACGGAUUUGCAUAUAGCCCAGAUGAAGUUUCCCUCCAAAAUGAUCAGCCAAGCGACGGUCACUGUACACCACACCAAUGAGCAGCUGAUUCAUUAGGACAAAUACAAAAUACGUAUAGCUCUUACCAAUUUGUUAUAGCCUUUUAAGUUCUAAAAAUAUAGCAAAAUAUAAAAUGCAAUAUUCUCUAUUAACAACAAAAAAGGUAAUUCUCAUAAAACUAUGCAUAAGGCCAGAAUGUAGCAAGGAUGUUAUGCAUUUAUUAUAAGUACUUCAAAAUCAGGGUUCAGAUUCUCAGAAUCAUAAUUAUAACUUUUAUACAAUAAAAUGAGAAAAUUACUUGUCAUAGACACUCAAGAAUGCUCCACAAAUAUCGCAUACCCGCAACUUCUGAUCAGUCUGCGAAAGAAACCCAGAUUGUGUUAUCAUUCUUAUAUUAGAUUCUAUAGCAACCCUCUGAACGAAAGAGACAUAAAAAAGCCAAUGACACAAGACAAGUCAAAAAUACAUAUACAAUUACAUAUCGAGGCAGUGAUAAAUGGAGCUGUCCAAAAUGGAAGGACAGAGAAACCCAAACCACUUAUAACUGUUACUACAGCCAAGAUACCCAUGUUUCCCUAAAAUCCCGUAUCUUAUACUCUAUCACACCAACACACAUACCCUGCUAUUCCCAUUAUAUCCUUGCCUUAAUGGCCUUGACACAUACUCAGAUCAUUACCUGGUAAAUUGAGCUCAAACUCCAAUACAAUACCUGAUCCUUCCAAGUUGAACCUUACAACUUAAUUGGCUUAUGUCUUUCUUAAUGCCCCACUCACAAAGGAGUCUGCCCUGUCUUUUCUACAUCCUCAAUUGACAAUUUUAAAAAACUACAAAUUACAUAGUCAAGUUACGGCUCAGUCCCCCUCAGAAGGUUAACAUAACAUUAAUGGCCAUCAGAUAAAAUAAUUGUUUAAUUUAUCCAGUGAGCUUUUGCAACUUAGAGUUGUACUCCAUAAAAAAUUAAUCCUACCAGAAACAGGUUCUCAUGACAACAAGAACAGAUGUGGCAGGAUGAUAAUACACAUGCUAAUACUUGGAUUGCAGGAACCUCUAUAGGCUACAACAGAAAGUUAGGAUGACUGGAAUAUAAAGAUAGAUAUGACAUCCACAUAUAAGAAACAAGGUCCCUAAAACCGCGAUCUUUGAAAUUCCUACAACUGUAUGACAAGGACUGUCUGUAGAUCAACUAUUUUUCACUCAAUUUUAAUUAUACAAGCAUACACAUAGAUCAACUAUUUUUCACUAAAUUUUAAUUAUACAAGCAUAUAAGAAACAAGGUCCCAAAAACCACGACCUUUGGAAUUCCUACAAUUGUAUGACAAGGACUGUUUGUAGAUCAACUAUUUUCACUCAAUUUUAAUUAUACAAGCAUACAUCUACAAGUCUACUCACAAAAGAACACAUUUAAAUAUACUAAAGAUCAAUUUGUGUUGCAAAAAGGAGAUGAUGGAACAAAAUUCACAAUAUCUGUUGAACUCACUAUUCGAACAUCAGCAGCACUAUACUUCGAAGAUUCUAGGACUGGCUCUUGCCGUGCACCCAGCUGAAGAAAAAAAGUGUACUCAUAAUUGUAAUGGCACAAAAUUUCAUAAAAGAUAAUAUAAGAUACAGUUCUACCAUGUAAACAAAUCAAACAAACUUAUCAUAAAUUGACAGACAAAACAGUCAUGUCUUAAAUGUCAAAAAGUACAAAACCUUUUUCAGAGCUUCUGCCUCUUCUAGAGCUUUCUGGGCUUCAUCUAUCAUACCCAUCUCACCUGUUAAUUUAAAGAAAAAAAUAAGCCUUACAGGAAAAUGAAAGAAAUUACAAUUAGUCUCCCAGAUGUCCAUUUUCCCAAAAAGUAUCAUAAAAUCCAUCUAUAAUUUGCUCCACCAGACACUAGACCCUUGCUGUCAACAACCCAACCUUGAAAUUUGAUGCCCUUAGCAUUUGAAUUUUGACACAUAAAGAGAUGCCAUAUCAAGCAUUAAAUGAUAAGUUAAAAAGAAAUAGCCAUGUGAAACUAUCUUUAAAUUGAUUGUUGUCGGCAUCUAUGGGAUAAUAACAUGGUCCUGACAUAGCCAAUUGAUUGGCUGAAAUAAGAAGCACAGUCAACAUUGACGCAGCAUCCGUACAACCUGUCCAUUGAAACCCACAUGGGACUAGGCAUGGUGCCAUUUCUGCACCACAUCACCACCAAAACAGCACAAUGGGAUAUACUAUAUAGUGGGCCCACAUGAAUGCCACCCAUAUACCAUGUCAGGGCCAUGUCAUCAUGACAUGAGCAACACAUUUUUCCAACAAAGCCAAAUUUAAUUUAUUUUUCACUUUUUAUAGCAUAAGGAGGCAAGUUGACCAAAAGAUAUUAAAUAUCUAUUCAUAUUGAGAAAUGCACUAUGAGUUGUCUGAACUCAAAAACAUAUUGAGAAAUAUCUACUCAUCAACAGAAACUAGGGAGUAAUUUACCAAGAUCUUCCGCUUUCUUUAGUUUUUCAUUAAUCAUUUCCUGGGUAUGAGGGUCUGGAGGAUUAAGAACAGGCAGAGUUGCUAAUGGAGAAGGAUUUUGAAUUGGCUGUGGCAAAGAAGCCCUGUCUUUGUUGAAAGCAUCAAGAAGAAGCACCGACUGCAGCAAAAACAAGAUCCUGGCUUAAUUGCCAAAAAAACACAACUGACUAAACAAAAGAGCACUCAGAAGCACCAUAAGCAACCUAAAAUUACAUGCUUGCAUGGCACAAAGUUGCUACACAUUGAUCUUGAAUAAUAAGACUUGAAUUUACUCAGUGACUCUGCAGAAUGGUACCUGUUUGUCAGCUCUUUGGGCUUUGAGUUCUUCCACCACCUCUAGGACCCGAAUUUUACUAUCAGUUUUUCCUUCAAAAUCUAUAGCAUCACAGAGCAACCAUAUUGCAUGUUGUUUAGUGGGACAAGCAGUAAGGAAUUAUUGGCCAUGAUAACAUGUGCAAUGGAUGUAAUGUACAAGAUACAAGCCACAAGAAAGACCAAUAGAAUGGAAAGCAUCCACAGAGUUACAUAUUUUGACAAUGAUCAAAGUACCUACGAUAGUUGUAGGAAAACAUUGUGAAAUUAUUUGCAAUUCAAAACACAUGUUCAAUAAAUGCCUUCAUGGCAGGGAGGAAAAGAAAUAUAUAAGUUUAAUGACUAAGAUGGAACCCCAGAAAUUUACUCAAUUGAAAAUGCAUGUAAAACAUACACGAGAAAGUAAAUGUGCAAAUGUGCUAAAAGAUCUAGAUACAGCUACCACGCAAACUGGGCGUGUAACAGGAUUGCACGCGAUCUAGGGUCCGGCUCGGGUUGAACAUCCUGAAAUGACUUAAAUUAGUCGGAUCAUGGCCAAGGUAUCAAGCAACUUAAACCAACCUGCACUCAAGCCCAUAUAAGGCUUAUCAAGUUAUGGGCCAAUAUCGGGCUUUAUGACAGUUGGUAUCAGAGUGGACUCAAUACAAGCCAUGGUGAGAAGAACAAAGUAGGAAGGUGCAACCCAUGGAUGGGGCUAGGGACACAUGAAGACAUGAACCAAUAUAGGACCUCACAUGCCGCCUACUAGCAAUGAUUAUGGACUAUGCAUUGGAACUUAGAUGUUGACAAGGACGUCAAGACUUACACCUAGUAUCAUUUACUUGGGCUUAAGCCUUUCAGAUCGUGUGGUUCUAAGCCCAUAAAGUCAUUGAUCAGUUUUCCCAUCAUACAGAGGAAAUAUAAUCUGCAGCAACGAAGCAUGAGGCAGUGGAAAGAUAAUCUGUGGGCAAUGAAGCAUGAGAUGAAAAUGAAAGAGAAUAUUCAUAAACUGAGUGUCCCUUUAAUUUCAACUGUUGUUUCAGAAUAUUCAUUCAGUGAUUGGUAAAAGAUGGAAGAGAAUCUACAUUUAUGCUUAUGGUGAGAUUGUUUCUUUUCUGUUUGUAUUGGUUGCUAAAUUCAAGAGAAUGCUUCAAUUGAUUUUUUUUAUGAUCUUCCUAGUGAGAUUUUUUGUUGGCUAAUGCAUGAAAGAGGAAAAUCUUUGUUCACCUCACUUCCACUCUUCCAACCUUCAAUAAGCAUGAAACUGGGUAGACUACAUAGAAAAACAUUAAUCUUAAACCAAUAAAUGAAGUUAACUUGAAGUACAGCAUACCCAUAGCCCAUAUAAAAUUAGCGUCAAACACAAAUUUGUAAAUUUCAAUAUUAUCAUGAACAAAAAGAAAUUACCGAAUACAUCAGCUUCUUUUAAUUUCUCCUUUAUUUGCUUCGACAAUUCGAUGGCUUCAGGCGUCUACAAUUUAAAAGGACAAAAACCAUUACACAGACUUGUGGUAUCUGUCACAUGACUGAUUAUCACAUCAUACAUAUAAAAGAAUAGAACAAUUACCUGAGUAACCUUGGAUACAGAUAUUGCUAUAGCAGCCUUAGCAUCCUCAUCCUCAAGUCGCUUGAGGGCUCUUUGAAUUUUCCUUUCACACUCUACAAUGAGUCUUUCUAUCAUAUCUUCAAGUUCUCUAUCAAAAUUAUGAUCACCUUUUGCUUUUGCUUCUUCAUAUCUAUGAAGAGUUUAGGAAUACAAGACAUGUACAGUGCUUCAGUAGCAACAGAAAAUGGAAUCAAAUAACUGAAGUUUCUGAUUAGGAGCAAUUCUGGCCAUCCAGGCAAACAGAUGUCUUUAUAUGUGUAGAACAUCCAUGUGUACAUGUAGCAUGCAUAUGUGUACAGUGAACUUUUAUAUGUAGGUCAUACAAUAUCUAAUGACAAAUAUGUAUGCAUAAAAAGCAAAAGAAAAUAUCUAUUGACAUGUAUAUACUAAAAAAGUCACAAAGAAGUCAAAAUCUAAAAGCUGCUCCAAACAUUAUGAAACAAAUUUACUGAUCCCUCUCCAUAAUGUGAUUCAAUGGAGACCAAAUAAGUGAGAAACUCAUUCAAAAUCCUGAGAACUUUUUCCAUCCAAGAUUAAGGGUGUAUUGGCAUUGUUCGCUAAGAUGCUCCGGUGCAUAAACAUAAAAAUAACCAGGAAGACUUAAAAGUCCAGCAUUAUCUAAUUAACAAAUGACUGCAUCCAGCCAACUAAAUAAAGGUGUUCAGGCAAUAUAAGAAUGAAACAUGAGAAUUAAUUUUAUCCAAUAUAUGUUCAUUACGGGCAUACAAAUCUACAUGUUUGAAUCCUGUAUAGCAAUACAUUAUUCAAUCAAGCAGCAGAAACAUGUUUCCGAUAUGUGAAAGUCUAAUUACAUUAUAGUGAAAGAUAUUACUCUAAAACUAUAAGACAGCAUUACGAUGAAGACGUGAAAUUUUGAUAGAUAGAACUUCUCUGCCCAUAUAAAUGGUACAAACAAAGCAACAAGAUUUGCACUCCAAGAAGCACCAUCUUGGCAGUCAAAUAUCAGAACCUUUGGCUUCAAAACAGACUUGAGCUAAGAGAAUACACAUGCUUAUUACAUAUUGUAGAAUAUGCCUGUUAAAAAUUGUGUAACUGUCCAGAAAAAAAUGUACAGAUAUUAGAGACCGUUUAAUAUGAUUUUGAAUAAUUAAAGUCAUGAUGAAGAAACAGUCAUUGUUCAGCUGCAUAACAAUCGGCAAGCACACAAAUUUAAACUUCAAUAUUACAUAAAACAUCAAGGCAGAUGUUUUAUCCUGUAUGAAGUCCAAAAACUUUGUCCCACAAAACUACACAUGCGACAAAAAAUGUGCUACUACAUGGUGCAUAGCCAAUAUGAAACUAACGAUUAUAAUCACUGGAAAGGUUCAUUGUUUACUAGAAGUCCUCAUUCUAAAUGCAACAGUUGUCAACGACUCUAAAGAAGAAGAAGAUAUGCAUAGUUUCUGAGCAGAAAGAUACUCUUUUCUCAGCUGCAAGGAAUGAAUCUUCGGACAGGGACCCAUAUCCAUUUUCUGAUACAAACCAGUAUAGAUGUAUCAGCGCACAUAAAAGUAGAUAAAUAGUUUGAGAUUUCAAGAUUUUAACUGCAGACAAAACUAUCAUUAGGGCACUCCAAAAAGACAAGUCAAGUUAAAAAGGCAAAUGAAAUGAUACCAACUGCUGCAAUGAACCAUGGAAUCCAAGCACGAAAGAUGGAACAUCAACAGCCAGGAAAACUAACCAUAAAAUUAUCGUAUCAACAGUAACCAAGCUAAAAAUAAUUAUAAGCUCCACAAGCUUCCCCUUCCAGACCAGAGAAUACAAAAGCAAAAACUACAUUAUCAAGUUACCAACAUCAAAAUUACAAAUGUAAUAAAAACACCAGCAAAUAAUAAACAAAAAACAAGCUCCAGGUACAAAAAGUUUUGGAUUUUCGACACUAAGAAGACCUGAUAUAAACAUAUGAUCAUAAAAAGCAUUAAAAACUCAACGAAAAAAAAAAAACCAGAGCCAAACAUCGCAUAAUCUCAAAACGAGGGGUUAAAAGGAUUUUGACGGCAAACAAUAACAGGAGAAUUGCCCAAAACGAACACACCAACAGAAUUUAACAAAACCCUAGCUAUCAGGAUCCAGGAUCCAUAUCUAUAUGUAAACUGUAAAGGCAUACAAGCCAGCGAGAUGGAUCGAAGGAUUAGGGUUUCGAGGAGGUGAGGUAAUCGACCGUAAGCUGGAAGAGGUCAUGGGGGCAGAGGCCGGCCAAGAAGAGGCGGCAGACGUCGCGGUCGUAGUACUUGCGGUUCACUUCCGUCACGUCCCCGUUGCGGUUGGCCCCCAUGAGCACGUCGAGCUGCUUCCUGAUGGCGUCCAUCCUCUCUCUCUCUCUCUCUCUCUGUCACUCUAUCUAGGGUUAGGGUUUCGACGAGGGGUUUUGGGUUCCCCCUCUCUCCGACUCCCACCUCAACGAACAAUCAGCCGCGGGCGAUGGGGCCUUUUGUAAGGAUCGAACGCAGAGAGAGAGAAGACAAGAUAUCGAAGCUGUGUCGACCCUCGCUGUGAAGUCGUCUUCGACGGAGGAAACGCCGUCUUAAAAGGAAGCCGCCUCUCUUCGAGGAGUUGUGCAAGCCAAGAGAGGGGUAGUGGUUGGAAUUUACAAUAGGAAAAGGACGAAUAUGAAAUAAAAUUGCAAUGUGGACUUUUUGCAACAUAAAACACACUACAUAUGUUCCUCCCAAACAUUAAAAAAAUAUUAUAUAUAUAUAUAUAUUAAAUUUUAAAGGACGAAUUCUUAUAAAAACAUCUUUUAUAUAUAUAUAUAUAUAUAUAUAUAUAUAUAUAUAUAUAUAUAUAUAUAUAUAUAUAUAUAUAUAUAUAUAUAUAUAUAUAUAUAUAUAUAUAUAUAUAUAUAUAUAUAUAUAUAUAUAUAUAUAUAUAUAUAUAUAUAUAUAUAUAUAUAUAUAUAUAUANNNNNNNNNNNNNNNNNNNNNNNNNNNNNNNNNNNNNNNNNNNNNNNNNNNNNNNNNNNNNNNNNNNNNNNNNNNNNNNNNNNNNNNNNNNNNNNNNNNNNNNNNNNNNNNNNNNNNNNNNNNNNNNNNNNNNNNNNNNNNNNNNNNNNNNNNNNNNNNNNNNNNNNNNNNNNNNNNNNNNNNNNNNNNNNNNNNNNNNNNNNNNNNNNNNNNNNNNNNNNNNNNNNNNNNNNNNNNNNNNNNNNNNNNNNNNNNNNNNNNNNNNNNNNNNNNNNNNNNNNNNNNNNNNNNNNNNNNNNNNNNNNNNNNNNNNNNNNNNNNNNNNNNNNNNNNNNNNNNNNNNNNNNNNNNNNNNNNNNNNNNNNNNNNNNNNNNNNNNNNNNNNNNNNNNNNNNNNNNNNNNNNNNNNNNNNNNNNNNNNNNNNNNNNNNNNNNNNNNNNNNNNNNNNNNNNNNNNNNNNNNNNNNNNNNNNNNNNNNNNNNNNNNNNNNNNNNNNNNNNNNNNNNNNNNNNNNNNNNNNNNNNNNNNNNNNNNNNNNNNNNNNNNNNNNNNNNNNNNNNNNNNNNNNNNNNNNNNNNNNNNNNNNNNNNNNNNNNNNNNNNNNNNNNNNNNNNNNNNNNNNNNNNNNNNNNNNNNNNNNNNNNNNNNNNNNNNNNNNNNNNNNNNNNNNNNNNNNNNNNNNNNNNNNNNNNNNNNNNNNNNNNNNNNNNNNNNNNNNNNNNNNNNNNNNNNNNNNNNNNNNNNNNNNNNNNNNNNNNNNNNNNNNNNNNNNNNNNNNNNNNNNNNNNNNNNNNNNNNNNNNNNNNNNNNNNNNNNNNNNNNNNNNNNNNNNNNNNNNNNNNNNNNNNNNNNNNNNNNNNNNNNNNNNNNNNNNNNNNNNNNNNNNNNNNNNNNNNNNNNNNNNNNNNNNNNNNNNNNNNNNNNNNNNNNNNNNNNNNNNNNNNNNNNNNNNNNNNNNNNNNNNNNNNNNNNNNNNNNNNNNNNNNNNNNNNNNNNNNNNNNNNNNNNNNNNNNNNNNNNNNNNNNNNNNNNNNNNNNNNNNNNNNNNNNNNNNNNNNNNNNNNNNNNNNNNNNNNNNNNNNNNNNNNNNNNNNNNNNNNNNNNNNNNNNNNNNNNNNNNNNNNNNNNNNNNNNNNNNNNNNNNNNNNNNNNNNNNNNNNNNNNNNNNNNNNNNNNNNNNNNNNNNNNNNNNNNNNNNNNNNNNNNNNNNNNNNNNNNNNNNNNNNNNNNNNNNNNNNNNNNNNNNNNNNNNNNNNNNNNAUAUAUAUAUAUAUAUAUAUAUAUAUAUAUAUAUAUAUAUAUAUAUAUAUAUAUAUAUAUAUAUAUAUAUAUAUAUAUAUGAUUCAACCUUCUGCAUGAGGUAUUAUAAUGUCAAAUUUGUUAUAGUUCAAUGAUCAAUCAACCAUGACAGUUGUUAAUUAACAAAAUUCUAAUCCUACAGGACUGCUUGAUAAUUGCAGGGUUUAGAAAAGAAAUCUACAAGAGAGAAGAAAAGAUGGGGUUUCGGGAAAUCGAAGCAUGGCGAGUUCAGUUCUUUCAUUCCCCUGUAUAGAGAACCAAGCAGCAUUGAGAAAAUACUUGAAGAUGCCGAAAAUGAGCAGCACCAGAGAUUGCAUUUGGUGCCCCCGAAGAAAAUUCAACAGUCUAAAUCACCUGCACUUCGGCCAGCAGUCAUCCCCAACUAUGUUCACAUUUCAGCAACCAGAAUUCAAGCAGCCUAUAGAGGUUACAAGGUCAGCUCAAUUAGUAUUUGAAUUGCGGCUUCCUUCCUUUUAUCUUGUUAGUAUUUGAUUUAUCGAUAUAAAACACACGGAUCAAGUCGACUAAAAUCAGAAUGUCAAUGUGCAAGAAAAAAAAACUAAUACCACCUUCCAUAGAGAAUUUAGAAUUCUGCAACAUGAUAGAGGUGGCCUUUUGUCCUACUUUUUCCUCGAAGAACAGAUGUGCACCUUAGCAGAGAUCAUAAUUAGUUGAUAUCAGUUUCAUCUAAAGAUCAAAAGAGCCAUGCACAGAAAACUGUAUCUUGCAACCCUUUGUUCAUUAAAUCUCAGCACUAUGAUCUGUUUAGUGAGCUUAAAAGAAGAUAGAAAUCAAAAUUCCUUUACAUGAAGCAGGCGAGGCAGAGCUACGGAGCGCUGAGGGGACUAAUGCGACUUCAAAGAGUCAUGAGAGGGCAGCACGUGAAGCAUCAGACGAUGAACACCAUGCGAUGCAUGCAGAUGCUUGUUCGAGUACAGUCACAAAUACACAGCAGGAGGCUGCAGAUGGUGGAGAGCAGGAGCCUUCAACUCCACCACACUCCACGAAUGAGCGAAAAGGAGAUGGAGAGCAACUUUGGCGAAUGGAGCGUUGCUCACCAAGUGAGAGAUCACCAUCAACAAUUACUUGCCCAAUGCAUCUCAUGCAUAUGAGCAUAUCUACUACCUUUGGUUGUGCACAUCUUGCAGACCGAAGCAGGAGGCUACGGAGAAUGGGACGAUAGCUUGCUCACCAAAGACGAGGAGGAAGCGAGGAUGCGAAGGAAGGUGGAGGCAGUCAUCAAGAGAGAGAGAGCAUUGGCUUAUGCUUAUUCCCAUCAGGUAAUGUUCCCAUGCUGAUGAAUCAAACAUGUUCUGCCAUCAAUCUUACAGUAAACACACUAUCUUGAAAUGUGGAGUUCUAAAGCCUUCCUCUUCCUCGGGUAACUCAUUAGAACCACAAAGCGAUCAUGCAAGCAAAUCUGGCCUUCAAAUCGUUUCUAAAUGUUUAUUAGCCUGUAGCUAAUCUGAAACAUCAACAACAAUGCUAACUUGUUCAUGGAUUCUUUGAUGGCAGCUACUGAAGGUGACGCCCAGGUCAGCCGAGGCGAUGCUGACCGGCCUCCGGUCCGCCAGCGCCCCAUGGUGGUGGACAUGGCUCGAGCGGCAGCUCCCGUCCGACCAAGCGUACGCGGCGCCGCCAGUCGAAACGCCGCGCUUCCUCGCCGCGGGACUCCCGCGAGCCACGCCCGCCCCGGCCCCGGCCCCCCAGCAGCCGCACCGACACCGCUUGCGCCGCAGGCACGAGGACGCGGACGACGCGAGCCUCACAAGCUGCCCGCCGUUCGAGGUGCCCAACUACAUGGCGCCCACGGCCUCCGCCAAGGCCAAGGUGAAGGACCACCAUGCGAACCAGGAACCGAAGAAGAAGAGGUUCUCGUUUGCUCUGGGGCAGAGCAUAGGCUCCCUGUUCGGCGGCAAGGAGACAAUGGGUGGCGGAGGUUGCGGUGACGGCAGUGGCUGCGGGGCGUCGCAGAGGACGGAAAGACGAGGGAAGCACAGGUCGACGGUGUCGGUGGGUGGCAUGAGCAUCGACUCCAUCGUGUCGCUGCCUGCGGGCGCUGUUGCCGGGCGGAGGAGCUUCGUGUAGUUAUUCUUUGUGUGUUAUCUGACUUGUUUUGUUUUUGUUGUGUUUUCUGCUGUUUAUGUUUUUGGUAUCAACUCUCCCAUGAACUCUGUGACUGUGUGUUGUAUGUUUGAUCUUUGUUGAUUGCAGUAAUAAACAUCAAUAAUAACAAUUCUUAUCUUAUAAUUGUUUUCAUUUAAGAUAAUGUUUCUUACUCCCUCACAUGAGAAAAUGCUUAUGAGUCUAUAUGCAUAAAAUCUACGUAUAAUAGGUUGAGUUCAGAUUUGGAGACGUAUACGGAAAAUGGAUCGAAUCGAGUCAUCCCAAGAAAGGGUUACGGAUCCGAUCAUAAACAGUGAUCACAUCAUCACAGAAACGGACUCGGACCAUGCGGUUUCAAGAACCCGAUCCGGACCCGCUUUGGGCCGUCUAUAAUAGCACCUUCGGCGCUGCUUUUGGAUUUCGGAGCCGCAGGUGAAUCCGCCGAACCAAAGAGGCCCAGCUGCGACCGCCGUUUCCUGCGGUCCCAACCGGACACGACGCCUUUGCGAGUCAUUAAAGGAAACGGAAAACCCUAGAAGAAACCUUAGAGGCCGCUCGCUUCUCGUUUGUCGCAGCCCCCGGAGUCUCCCGGACGACGAAGUGAAGCGAUGUGGUGGCGUUCCAGAGCUAGGGGUUUCCUUCUCCGAUCCUUGAUCCGACGGCCCUUUCCAUCCCAAUCGAAGCGCGGUUCUUCCAAAACCCUAUCCCCGAUCCCUCCUUUCACGCUCGGAUGGGCCCGUCCCGUCAAUCUCCAGUUCCAAAACCUCCGGUUCUUCUCUUCGCCAAACGAAGCUGUUUCUGGAGAUGACGAAGAUAAAAACCGUAGCUUUGGUUUCGUGGAGUCGAGUGAUUCAUUGAUUUCGGAUGCCGGCGAAACUGGGAUCGACGGAGUUGAUGAUGGAGGGGAGGGUUCUUCCGAGUUGGAUGGUGGGAAGGAUGAAAGUCAGGUGGGGGCAGAGAGCCUGAGCUCUUUACGGGAGGAGAGCAUUCAGGAUGAUGAUUCCUUGGGCAUUUUUGCUCCCUUGGAGCCCGUAGGCGAAGCAGCAGAGGAUCCGGGCUCGGUCACUGAGAUUGAUAUCCAGCAGGUCGACAAGGUACGGUCCCUUCUUCGAGAUUCUUCGCAAGAGCCGUUGGAAUCUAGCUUGGAUAAGAUUGAAGUCAGUUUGAGUGAAGAGUUAGUGGCGAUGGUGCUUCAGACACCUUAUGUCUCGGGUCACAAUUUGGUUGGCUUCUUCAGAUGGGCUUUGAGAAGUGAAGAAUCGGUCAAAUCUUUGAAGAUGGUGGAGCUUCUUGUCAAUGCUCUCAGCAGUUCUGCAGAUCUUAACAAAAUGGGGGCAUACAUGUUGUGGGAUUUGAUCAAGGAAAUUGGAAAUGAGAAGGGGUUGGUAAACACUUCGAUUCUUAAUCAAUUAAUAUCAAUGUUUGGGAGACUUGAGAAAGCCAGAGCAGGUCUUGAAGUUUUCGACAAGUUCGAUGAAUUCAGUUGUAACCCAGAUGGAAAUACAUACUACUUAACAAUUGAAGCCCUUCGUAAACGAUCCAUGUUUAACGCUGCAUGGUCUGUUUGCGAGAAGAUGCUUAGCUCAGGAAACCUUCCUGAUGGUGAAAAGCUUGGUAAGGUGAUAUCUUUCUUAUGUAAAGGGAAAAUGACAAAAGAGGCCCAUUUGGUUUAUUUGAUGGCUCAGGAAAAGAAGAUAUUCCUUCCAAGAUCUAGCUUCGAUUAUUUGGUUAGCAGUCUCUCUAGAAAGGAUGAAACUGUGCGGAUAGCUCUAGAGUUAUUGGACAACUACCCUACAGAUUCUCUCAAGUAUGCAAAUACAACUUUUGGUUCAGUGGUUCACGGAUUAUGUAGGGUUAAAGAGCCACAGGAGGCAAAGAAAUUGCUGCUAAGAAUGGCGCAAUCAGGGCCAGCACCUGGAAGUGCAGUGUUCAAUUAUGUUAUUACUGCUUUGUCUAAAGGAGGAGAAAUGGAGGAUGCCAUUGCUGUGAUGAAGAUAAUGGAAGGUAGAGGACUACGACCAGAUAUUUAUACUUACUGUGUAAUCAUGAGUGGCUUUGCAAAAGGCGGCCUGAUGGAUGAGGCAUAUGGGAUCUAUCGUGAAGCCAAGAAAAAUCAUGCUAAACUUAGUCCCGUAACUUAUCACAUACUUAUACGUGGUUAUUGCAAGAUGGAGGAAUAUGACAAGGCCCUUAAUUGCUUGAAGGAGAUGAAAGACUAUGGGGUACAACCUAAUGCAGAUGAAUACAAUAAAUUAAUAAAGACUUUAUGCCUCAAGGCUGUUGAUUGGUGCACAGCUGAGAAGCUUCUGGAGGAGAUGAAAGAGAGUGGUCUGUUCCUUAAGGGAACAACCCGCAGUCUUAUUACAGCAGUGAAGGAAUUGGAACAGGAAGCACAGUCAGAAUCAGUUCACGCUGAAGCAUAAGUUAACAUAUUCUGAACUGAGGCUGGCUAUUUAUGCCUAGUUGUUGUAUUAUUAUUUAACAUCAAGAUGUAGGCAUGGAAAUGAGCUUCAGAGUCAUGAAUAUGUUCUUACCACACAAUUUUGUACUUUCAAGGGGCAUCUUUCUUUGGGCCUUUUAUUUUUUUUGCUUUUCAUUUAAUUUCAGUUGCUUCUUAAUAAAUAAUAGUGUCUUUUGUUGCUUAUCUUGUAUAAGCUAAUAGACCCUAUUCAUGUUCUUCCCUUUAUUUUAUAGUUUAAGCUCCAUUUCAGCCAUUUAUAUAUAUGCUAUUUUUUAUUUGAGAACUAUUAGUCAACAUAAUGCUUUAAGCGGUAGGUUCAUUGUUGACUUAAGAAUCUUAACUGCAGAAUGCUUAUAAGACUAUUUUAUACGUUUGGGUGGAAAGUGCUGCUUACUAUAAGGUGAUGGUAUUGUUGAUCCCAGUUGCUCAGCUUCUAUUUACUAUGGAAAUGUUUUUUUUUUUAAUUUACUAUGGAAAUGUUGCCCUCAUGCAUGCCUGUGUUUGAAAUUUUUUUUCCCUCAAAUGAGAUUUUGUAUUUUCCUCGGCAUCUGCUUAGUUCAUUAACCUGCAUUGUUACUAUUUGAUCCACGAAAACUUAUUCUCAAUGACAUGUAUCCUCGUCUACCUUGCAACCCUCCUCUCCUACAGGCCCUCUUCCUUUAAAUGCUCACUUGAUUGUUGAGACGGGCAAAAUAUGAUUUACAAGUGAUCUAAGUUUAUUGACAUGCAAAUUGUAAAUGCUUUGAUUAGUUUAUGCUGCUUUAUCUUGUCAAUAUGCAGUGUCUUAUAGAUACUUAUAACUGCCUUAUCUUAUAUAUGUAUAUCUUCACUGUGUGUUUAUUAUUUUCCUGUACAGUUACCGGUCACUGUGCAUGUGUGCACAACAGAAGUAUAUCAGGAAGACUGAAUCAUGUUGCAAAUAAGAUAUUGAAGGACAUCAAGGGAGAGUAUUUUGCUGCAAUGGUUUGGUAAAAAAAUUACUUUUGUGUUAGUUAACUGUUUGUUAUGCAGGUCUUGCAGAUAAAUUUUUAACUUCUGUUCAAUUUUAUUCACUAGUCCUAUUUUCAGCAUACAUAGUAAUAUCUGGCUUAGAUUCUGCCUUUAAGCCUGUGUUAGAGGUUGAUUACCAAUUUGUUUAACUCUUGAUAAAUACAGGACUUUACUCUGGCGAUGGUAGUCUACAUAUAAGCCACCAUACUAUGGCAUCCUUAGUUGAUAAAUUUUUUUAAGUAUCUUAGUUUUAAAACUAAGAUGAGGUUCUGAUUAGCUGAAGAAAUGCAUAGUCAAGACAAAUUCUAAUUCAAAGUAUGGAUUUUGCUAAGCUCUAAGGUUUUGUAUGCACAGAAUGCUAGCUAGAAUGCAGAAGUUUGUGUUUUGGCAUCAAACACAUAACUGUAGAUAAUUUUAAUAUCUUUGGAGAUUCACAUGCUUUAAAUUGGUGAAUCGUGUUUGUAGUUAUACUUGAUGUUGAGCCAAUUACAUAAUGCAUAUUACCCCUUCUAAUUAGAUCUCAUUAGCAUUUCGAUCCCUAGACUUAAAAAAUUUACAUUGAAAUUCUUAUAAAUAUGAAAGCGAAACAUUUAACUCAUUUAUCCUAACAUUGUCGGUUUUACCGAUGGAAGAUACAGCACGUGACAGCACAUGCAUGAAUGACACUAAAAUGAUGGGCAAAAAGAUAAUUUCAACGAUGGUAGUGGAUGAUAGCGUCGUGGGUAGCUGUUGUGGUGGUAGUCGGUGAGAAUGAUGUGGAGGUUGACCUUGUCGAUGUGAAUCUAAACAUCAACAACGAGAAAGACAAGGCAGAGCGAUGAGGCAUUUGCAUUGAUGUUGUAUUGGCGUUGCCUCCUCUUCCUCUUCUGACAUCGAUCUGCGUCGGCGUUGGAAGAGGAAGAUACGACAAGUGAGGCAUAUGCAUCACCAAUGAUGAGGAGGGAAGAGGAAUAGGAGGCAGAGUGAUCCGACGACGACACAGAUGCUUCACCUACCUCCUCUUCCUCCUCUGGUGUCGCAUCACAAGCUGACAUCCUCUUAAAAUUCGUCGAGGCAAAUGGUGCAAUCAGUGCUCCGCACCAAUUCCUCACCUUUUUGGUACUUGUGAACUGCAAUCUUGCUCAUCAAUGUCUCAUCAAGCUUGUUCGAUGAAACUUCAUAUGCUUCCCCAUCGAACGGGCUUGAUAAGGCAUUGAUCAACAAGAUCGCAGCCCACAAGUACUAGAAAGGCGAGGGAUCGAUGCAGGGCACCGAUUGCUCCAUUUGCCUCAAUGUAUUCCGGGAGGAUGAGGUAGAACGGUGCGACGCCGGAGGAGGAAGAAGAGGCAAGUGAGGCAUCUGUGUCGGCACCGCAUCGCUUUGCCUCCUCUUCCUCCUUUGGCACCGCUCUGCCUCACCUGCCUCUUCUUUGUCGUCGGCAACGCAAAUGCCUAACUUGCCUCCUCUUAGCACCAACGCAGAUGCAGAGUGGCAUUGGAGGAGGUAGAGCGAUGCGACACCAACGCAGAUGCCUUAUCGCUCUGCCUCCUGAUCGUCGAUGUUCAAAUCGACAUCGGCAAAGAUCGACCAUCGCAUCGUUCUCAUCGAUUACCACCACAACAGCCACCCGCGGUGCCAUCAUCGUGAAAUUACCUUUUGCUCAUCGUUUUUGUGUUAUUCAUGCACGUGCUAUCAUGUGUUAUAGCUUUCGUCAGUAAAGAGGAUGACGUUAGGAUAAAUGGGGUUAAAUGUUUCACUUUCAUAACUAUAGGAAUUUCAAUGUAAAUUUUUUAAAUAUAGGGAUCGGGAUGCUAAAGAAGUCUAACUAUAAGGGAUAAUAUAUAAUUAGCCCGCUUGAUGUUGCUGAAAAUUGAAUAUUGAAUGUCAGUGCUCUGCUGGAUCUUUGUCAAUAAUAAUUUUUGAAAUUUUCUUCAAUAUGUGGGUCUGUUUAGCUUUAAUUGCUAUCUGGAGACACUCGGGGCUUGAUUACUCUAUUGCUAUGAGGUUCUUUGGGUUGAUUGGAGUUGUUGCAGUUUGAUUUAGUCUGAUAUUAACACCUCCCUUGCAAUUUUUGGAGACUUAUAUCUGCAAAGACCAUCACUUUCAGUUCCUGAUCCCUGAAGGUCUUUCGGAGUUGUACUCUGUUGGAAAUAACUUUUAGUUGAGAUGUUCUUUCAUGGUUUUUCUUGAAUGCAAGUUUGAUUUAAAUUUUUUUUUGAGAAUUCGUAACCUCUGGCAUAGUCUACUCUGCUUUUGGAAUUUGGGAAAAAUUCCAAAUUAAGGUUUGAGGAUUGUCUACUACUAUUGCAUAUAUCUUGCCUUUGAGGAUUUUGGUUUGCAAAAUAAGGUUUGACCACUAAAACGAUUGAAUGUUUGCUAGUGCGGAUACUUUGCUUGAAGGAAACAGGCAUCAUGAACUGGAAUUGGAGAUUGAAUGCGGAUAUGGGCUCGAACAACAUGAUCAAGUUGUCUACAAAGACAUGGUAAAUGGCAUGAGAAACAUGUUUUGAUAUUUGCUAGUGAAUUUGUGUUGAUGCCAUGAGACCUAUGAAAAAUCAUGUUAUUUAUCUUCGAAACUAAAAGUUGAUGUGAGAAAUACAAACAUUAUGUGGUUGGUUGCUGUUGUAUUGUAGAGUGGCAUUAUAUAUCCCAAGUAACCCUGACCAUGGUUAAGUUUGGAGCUGGAACCGAACUGGAUUUGAACCCGAACCGGCUUCAUCCAAUGGUUCAUCAAUUCCAAUCCGAAUCGAAUCGAAACAACUCAAUUAUUAUUCUUGGUUUUUGAAAACCAGAAUCAACAGUCCCUGCACUGAAAAAUCAAUAUCAAAAUCAAAAUCUCUGGCUCUGAUCUGAACUGGUAAUUUCCAAACUUUUAAAAAAUAUAACUUUCAUUUAAAAUUAUAAUUAUUUUAAUUAAAAAUAGAAAAAACUGAUGGUAUGAUCAGGAACUGAACCGGACCUUUGGUUCUUCAACCCUAUGUGAUUUGAUUUCGGUUCCCAAACUUUAAGAACCAAAAUUAUCGAUUCUAAAACCGAGACCAGAUCUAAACCCAACCACAACACCCAGUCAAACAUAAGUCACCUUUUAUGCAAGGUAAAGAAACAGAGAACUCAAGGAAGAUAGAAUGUUCUCUUAAACAGCAAGUUACAGUGAAUGCAAGCAACAUCAAAUCUAGCAUGUCUUGAGUAUCUCCAUGUGAAACAGCAUGCUGUUUUUUACACUUCCCCAUAAGAUAUUAGCAUUAGAUGAUAAUAAUGUACACAUACAUAUCUAUACACACUAUAAUCAGUCUACAAGUACAAAGCACCAUCUCUGCUCGGCGCAGCAGUACAAGAUCAGUACAAAGAAAGGAAACAAUACAACACCAUUUAGUAAAAACAUACAAGAUGAGGUCAAAAGAUAACAACUACGGGUGGCACGAGCAUCUGGCUUAGGUAUCAGUGCAAAGUUGCAUACGAAUGCAUGCGUCUUUAGAAUUUAGAACUCCGACUUGAGGAGCUUCGAUCUAGGUUCUAUGUUGACAUACGAAAAAGGGUUCUCCUGUUCAACAUGUAUAUAAUCCUUUGUUUUCAGGACCUGCAAAAGAGAGAGUGCACACUAAUAAAAAGAAAUAUGGGGAAAAACUGCUGAGUGACAGAUUUUUUUCACAUGUGAAGUGCCAAAGGGCCUCAGUCACUACAUGAAUUGCAAUUCAAGAUAUGAGAGCAGUAAAACAGAAAAGGCAAAUUGAGUUUAGCAGUUUGCAAGAUAUUGGCAUACCAAAGUCUCAAAGAACAUCCUUGAUGCUUCUUUGCGACUUCUUCCAGCUACGAUGUGAUCCAUAGCAAGGUUUUUUCUCACACGUCCGGAUUCUCCCUCGAACAAAUUUUUUAAGUAUCUCGCAACACCUCUGAAAUUUUUGUAUGAAAACAUCAGUUUAUGCUCAGAGAUUAACCACGAUAAAUAUAUACUAAACUAAAAUAGAAUCUACCUUGUCCUGGAAGACCAACCACUAUUUUCAAGUGAUUGGGCCUCUUCAGGAUUCAGUGCAUCAUCUGCUUCUUCAUUAUAGUCUGCUUCAUCAUCUGCAUUAAGAAACUCUGACAAAAAACGAGCAUAAGGUAUAAGAGAAGUUAAUGCCACCAGCCUGUAUUAUGAAAAGGCAAAAUAUUCUUUAGUUCGAAGCAUCAAGGGGAAAGCUGACUAUGAUGGUUUUUUUAGCUCACAAUAAUCAAGAUCAGAUGAAGAGACAAAAGCAGCACAAUAUCAACUAAUGUCGUCACUUGUUGACUAUGAAAUGUUGAUUAUCCAUGUCAAUAGUAGGUAUCGGUGCUGUUAAAUUAACUGUGCUACUAGAUUCCAUGAUAAACACUGAACAUAGUUAAUUCCAGAACAAUCUCUUCUUCUGUCCGGGAGAUCUUUUCAUGAACUCCCUUCCAAGCAUCUACAGGAAAACUUCUAAUCUUCUUAUAUACAGAAACCAUUUGGAAUAAAACACAGAGACCAGGGCAUCAUGUCUGAAGUAUCUAAACAAAAUUAGUUCAAAUUAGAGGAAAGAUCUUUCUUCCAUGAGUUGGAAUAUUUUCCUAGAAAUAAAACAUAUAAAGUUGUAAUAUUUCUUAUAAAAGUUUGGAGAAUUUUUGCCAUGUAGGACACUAAAUGUAAGUGAUUGACAUUAUUCUUCUAGUUCCUGCCAUAGAAGAAUUUUCAAAUAAUGGUGGACGACAUCUUCACUCAAGAAGACAUCUCAACAGAAAAAAAGGGAUGAAGUAUCAAUAAACAUGGAUCUUAUAAGGUCGGGGAGACCAAGUAUAACCUCAACUUGAGAUUCUAUGGUUGCUGACAGCAGGAUAGUUCCAUCUAAUGUUUUUACAAGUAAGAUGUAGCUGUACCCAUCAACAUGAAAUGGGAAAUACUAAUACAACAAGCAUAUCACUUUUAUCAUAAAAGAAUAAUGGCAUUUUUGUUCUUCUGAGAAACUAUUGAAGGUUACAGGUACCUUUGUGCCCUAUUUGGUCAAUCAUCUCUCAAAAUUAAGAACUGAUUUGUUAGAAAUUCUGAGAUUAAUGAACUUAAUCACAGCAAGAAAAGACAAAAUAUGGGACCAAGAAAUUCUGAGGUUACAGGUUUCUUUUCUCACUUCGUUCUAGACGUUAGGGACAGUAGAAGUGCUUCAGAUUAUCCCCCACUACUUAAAAAGCAAAAAGACACAAGAAUAUAUGGGGAACUGUUAUGUGCUAUAUUAAUUAGGGAUUAUCCUUUAUAUGAUAGAAUGGUGUAUGGCAAUAACUUCUUAUACUUAAUUUAAGCAGUCAUUUGAAGGUCAUGCAUCAGAAACACAAUUUUCCUUUUCAUAGUAAAAUUAAAAAAAAAAGGGAGUAUGAAAACGUGCUGCAAAUUAAAUAAGAAGAAUACCUGUACCAUUGCCACCAAUUGCACUGCAAAAGUCCUGCAAAUGGAAACAUGUCAAUAUAUAGAAGUAUAAAAUUCAGGUGCAGCAAAAGAACACUUACAACUUGCAUAUAUGGUUACUGGCAGCAAUAGUGUAAAAAUUUAUUCAAUCAUACAGGAAGACCCACUGCAGGACAUGUGACAGGCUUCAAGCAUGCCACAGGUUUGCACAAUGUCAAGAAGCUUUCAGAAUUCCCAUUGCAAGAUAUGAAUUGAAGCUAAAAAUAUUUUCACUGAGAACUGGAAAAAUAUAAACAAUUCAUGACUUCUACAAUUUUUAAUAUUAGCUAAGUCGAGAACUUACACUACACUCUUUUGCAGUGUUGAAGUCCACGGGGCUUUCUCCACUGCCGGCAAGGUUAAAUUCCAGCAAACAAGAAUUUUCUCCCACUAAUGAAGGAAUAUUUUGGAUGUCACUAUUUGGUUUGAGCGAGGAUAAACCAGCUAUCUCAGAUCCUUCUGAAAAGCUAAUAUCGGGAAUAGAAACUUCUUUAUUAUCCAUAACUAUGUGUGCAAUAGCUUCAUUCUCCACUCUGUUACCAAGUUGGCCUUCUUGUUCCUGCAUAGCCUUGUCAGUUGGUUCACCAACUUCCUGGAUCAUAUCCUGGGAAGAACUCACAUCCAGCAUGACAGUUAAUCUGCCUUCUGGCAAAUUUUCAUCAUCUUGAGGUAAACAGCUAUCUAGUGUAGAGACCAACGAAUGACUACAUUCAUUCUCUAUUUCAAAACAAACAUCUUGAGGGUCACUUGGAAUUACCACAUCCACCGAACCCCUCUCCUCCAUGACUGAUGCAUCUGUAGCAGCACAUUCAACUUCAACAUCGAUCAUGGUAUCACUAUCCAAAACUGCAGGCAUUUUCUUAUCAACUGGCCUACCUUCAGGAUCAUUCUCACCAGUAGCUAAGCCAUCAGCAGGAGCUUUAUCAUUUCUUUCCUGUUCAUUUAUAUCUGUUGUUACCACUGUACAUGGUGUAUUAUUGCCUAAAGCCUCAAGUUGAGGUAGGCCAGCUCGGGAUUGUAAAUGUUCUUGAGCAUCACUGUUAUAAGCAAUCAUGCUACUCCCAACUUCAGUUGACACAGAUACACCAGGUGAUUCCUGUCUUCCAAAACCAGUGCUAUUUGGCACUGUUGGAUCAGCUGUUUCUUUCUCAUCAGCUUCCCUGAUGAUGCCUGACCUUCUAGAAUAGUUGGAUUCUUUCAACAGCUCUGCACAAGAAUUGAGGUGGUCUGCUACAUAAUCGUAUACUUGAGAGUGCAGGGCACUCAGCUCCACAGACAUACCUGGAAGUAGAAUAUACGUGUCAAGCCUACAUACUGAUGGAAGGAUGGCAUGAUUAUAAAGACAUGAAACAAGAUUGCAAAUACAACUGAUGACACAGAGUUAAUCAACAGCAUCAACUCUGUAUCAGAAAAACAAGAAAUCAGAAGAACAUCAUCGAAAAGAAACUAAAAAAAUCAAAUAGGUCAAUACUUCAUAAUUGUUAAAACGGAUGAACCCAAUGCAUGAGUUGCGAGUUGGGAAGGACUAACGUAUGCAACGUUCUCUACAUUUAAAAAUGUAGAGUUUGAUAUUUUAUGAUAUUCUUCUUUUUCCUAAAAUGAAUUAGGUAUGCUUCAACUUACCUAACAUGAAAAUGACUAAAAGCAAUUGACAACGAUGAAAAACUGAGCCUAGAAGUGCUCGGUAUGAAACAACUGAGAUGAGAAGCACUCUUCAUAAUUGGACUUUGUGGUUGCCAUUACUCCAUUUGGGUAAGACCAGGGAGUAACUGCAGAAACAGCUUGAGGCUAGUGAAAGCUGAAGUUGCAUAAUACAGAUGAACUUGCUGGAUGCAAGUUUAAUAAAUGGAUGCAAGUUUGCUGUUAAGUGAAUAAUUCCAAAAUUCCCGAUCUCAGCUAAUAAAAUUAGCUAAACCAGAUGAACUUGAGACAUCACUCUACUAAACUUUGUGAUUGGUCUGUUGUAGUCCACCCACAAAUGACUUGCAGUAGAACUAAUGUCAAAAGUUAUCAAUUCAACUUUCCAAGCUUUUUAAACCAUCCUUGGACAUGACUUUAUAAUAAAUAGAAUUUAUUAUAUGCUCCACAAAGGUAAAUUAGAGCACCCAAAUUCCAAGUUUGAUAGUGUUAGAAAGAAAGGGAAAAAAUACACAUAAAUAUCUUGGCAUUCAUCAAACAAAUUUAAGUAUAUAAAGAAAUUGCUCCAACAAAUAAAUGAUGACUUUUAAGUUGUGCGUAAGUCACAGAUAACAUAAAUCAAUAAGCCAAAAAAAAAGCUAACCAGUAGUAAUAGGUUCCAUGAAAAUUUCAUCAUCUGCAGAACUUUUCUGAAUCAUCCAAAUUUCAGGAUGUGUACAGGGUGCUUUCCUUCGUACGCGUCGUAUAUCUUCAGUGUGCAUUAGCUGUUGCCGAAUUGCACUAUAAUAGGCAAAAGAAAGUUUCAUCACAUUGCAUCAACACAAGUAGCAGCUCCAAAGAAAAAAUGAAAAGAGCAUAGGGUGACAUUUUUCAUAGUGACAACCAAAAAGAUGAGGAACUCAAAUAUUCAAAAACAAGAAUUUCUUUAAGGAUAGUUUCCUUAUUUCAACUAGUAAAGGCUUGCCCUCAGUAGUUCCCCUACUUUGUAUGGGAACAUCAAGAAAAACACAAGCCUUCUUCUAAGGAUAAGUUGAACUCAACCAGAUGACACUAGCUGCAAAAUCUCUCAGACUUACACGGGGUUUAAGGUGCGAUGUCCUGAUGGCUUAAACAAAAGGUUCCGAUCAUGGAAGCAAAUUGUAAUGGUAAGGACAACAACAAUACUGAAAUGUGGAGAUAAAAAAGAAAGAUGCAUACUCAGCAUGUAAGACUGUAAUAUCAUCCAACAGCACUUUCUUCAGCAUGCCUAAUUUGGGCGUUGCUCUAGGCCGUUUUAGAGAAGUUGCUUUUGGCAGAGGUGGAGUGGGACCAAUCCUCAAGAGUGGAGUCCUCUUUCCUACUGAAAAAAUGACCAAAAUAAUUAAGUAAAAAAAUGAGGGAUUUAUAGUAUAUUCACAUGCAAGAUUGUUAUCUUGGAUCCAAAUAGAUGAGAAGAAAACAAUUUAUUAGUACUUAAGUAAUCAAUUUAGAAAGUGAACACAACAUUCAAGCCAAAAGAAUUCUUACCUAAUAUAGAUGCUAACAAAUCAUCAUCAUCAGGAAUAGAUUCUGUGCUUCUUCUAAAUGGUUUUCUGCCAGACAUUUUGGCUGAACUACCAUUUGGCAGAACUAGUGCACUGUCUAUUAGGUGGCGUUUCCUGCCAGAGAGACUGGAAAUUCUGCCAACGCUUCCAUCAGACUCGGUAACUCCCUUAUCUACAGUUAGCUGACUUAAUUCUUUUGCCUGGUCAACAUCACUUGUCGGAGCUAAAAGCAUCUUUUCAGGACUUGAAGAACAGUUCAACCGAUCCAACUCAGCAUCUUUCGAAGAAAGGUCAACAGAUAUCUCAUUUGUGUUGCCAACUACAGGGACAGAUCCUGUCAAAUAUGUUCCUGACAUGUUAUGCACAUGGACUGAAGCACUAGAAACAUAAUAAUCUAUAUAUGAAAAUCAUAACAGCUUAGACUUCCCAAUUUAUGGAAAAUGCAAACAAAAGAGAGCCAAGUAAACAAACAAACCUUGAUUCUCGAUACAUUCAAUACUAUGCAGUGCCUUCUCUCUCACUGGCAUUUGUGAAGGGACACAAAGAUCUUCAAGAGAAGCUUCUGGAGCAUCUUGUACUGGUUCUAAAUUCUCUAAAGAAUGUGUGUUCGCUUGAUUUGAUUCUGAACUAGAAGCUCUCAAAUGAAGACUUGUUUGUGGGCAAGGGUCAACAACUACUUCAAGGUCUUGAUUACUUGAUGGCUGAGCUUCAACCCCAAGUGAACUAAUUUUGGUAGCUGAGGUCACUGCAGGUGCCAAUAGAUUUUCAGUUGAUGCUUCAGAAGUUGCGGUUACAACUCCAGUCUCAACUGGAGACUUGUCUUGAGGAACUUCAGAAUUAGAUGCUUCUAAAGAACAACUGGAAGAUACCAAGCCCUCCAUCUGAGAUAUAUCAGGAAAUGUGUUCUCUCCAUUAUCAAGGUUCUGAUCGUCACAUAACAGAUCUUUUGCUUCUUCUGCAACAAAUUUAAUCUGAAAAUCAUCUGUGCUCUCCUGUUCACAAUGCUCACCCGGUCCAGCUAUUUGUUGUGCUUCUUCCAACAAAACUGUAGGAGAGGAUACCACUUGUGGAACAUGUGCUAACUCAGGCUCCAUCGUUGACAUGUGUAUGAUGCCACCAUCAGUCUUCAAGUCUUCUUCACCAAAUGAAGGUGAAUGUUUUAUAUGGGGACUCAGAGCAGGACUUUCAGGUAUAGGGGUUGAAAUAGCCUCUCCCAUCAAUCCAGGAGUAAGUGGAGCAUGAACACAAUAUGUUGAUUCCAGAUUUGGAACAUCAACAAUAGAACUAUGACCAAUUUGGUCAACAUUAUGAUCGUUGGGGGAAAAUGCUUCAUUGAGAUUAGAAGUCUGGAUGUUGUAGCCUAGCCAAUCAGAAGAUAUGUCAUUCUUCCCCGUAAUUUGAAUAUUUGAAUAUUUAUAACAAUUAUAUAUCAUGAUAAUUAGAAAGUUUACAAAGGUCCAUUGGAAUUUCAACUUAGUACCUUUAACAGAACCUCCUUGGUCUUUAUCAAUACCCAUCUCUGUGACAAGCAUGGAAGAUGAAGAUUGACCCUGAAGCAUGCCGCUAAAACAAGCAUAUAGACAUUAAUGGAACAUAAUCAGACAUACUGAAUGACAGACUGAAAAACCAAGCUAUAUGGAUAAUAUCAGCUAUUGAUAUAACAUGAAAACUCAACAACAGCCAUUUUACAAGCACCACCAUCUGAAGUGAAGAAAACAUAAAAACUGUCUCAACUGAUAAAUACACCAAAUAUAAUUAAAAAUGAAAUUGGAAAGAGACUUUGGAAUAUGAGAAGUAAUCGCCAAUUCGUGCAAAACAUCAAUAAAAGGUUGGUUAGUGCAUGAUACUCCUGCCAAUACAGGAUUUGGGAGGCUUAAUGUACGCAACCUUGCUUCUAUUUCUUCAUAGAGAGUCUAUUUUCAACACUCGCACACCUCUAUUUUUGAGACUCAAACAUAGGUUUCUGCUAUAAAUUUAUUUUCAAGGGGCUUUUGUACAUAACCCUCUACUUUGUCCAAUAUAAAGAAUCCUUGCCUAUUAUUUAUGCUUAGCCCCUAAAAAAAAUCCAUAAGGUUGCCUUACCAUCAAAUUUGGAUAUUAAAGAAGGAAUAAAAUGAAAACUUCUAAAACUAAGUUCGCUAGAAUGGAAAUAUUAUCAAAAUGACAGGAUCAAAUCAAGAAUCAAAUCAAAAUGAAGCGAAUUUAGAACCAGAUGACAGGAUACUCAAAUCAUAUUGAAGCAUUUUGAAGACUUGUUUGUGGGCAAGGGUCAACCAAAUGGGAAUAUUAGAGGCUUUCAUGCAUUUUAUCAACCAAACAAACAAAUGAUAGAGGCUGAUCAUAACAGCACAUGGUUUUGAGAUGCAUCCAUACUGGCUUAAGGGCAGGGUACAACUAGCAAGGUGGUGAUUUCAAACUGUUUCAAUGGUGUAAAGGAGGUUUAGAUAAUGGAUAAUUGAGGUAAUGGCACAGAUGGAGGUCUAGAUGAUGGAAUUCUGAAGUAAUGAUAUCUUUAUGUAAUCAAGAGUGUGCAAAAUUAAGCCAUUGCCAGUAGCACUCUCGCCCUUGGGACACCAACAAGGUCCAUGUCUACAACCUAAACUUAGUGCCUAGAAUUGCAGGUCCAGCAUGAUAGUUUUUUUUUAUGUUGAUUGAAAGGUUAAUACUGUUUGUAGCCACCAAACACAGAGAGAGAAAGAAUGCAUUGAUAGUGUUUUUUUUCUUUUGUUAUAUUCAAAAAUUCCUACUUGAAAAUAUUGCUGCACAAAGAUCAGAAAAGUAAUCCAUCAAACAACAUAAGCUAGGUUUUUUUAUAGCCAGGACAAAAUUAACUUCAAAGGAAAAACCUGAUUAACAUUCAGCAAAGUGAACAUUAAGGGAUGAUGGUCACUGAUGGAUGAUAAAUAGAAAAGGCAGAGAUAGAGGAUGCAGAUAAACAUGUAAAACCCAUGGGUUAAAGGAAAGUUUACCACUCGUCUGAGCCUGCAACUGAAGUAUGCUCAUGCGAGGGAUGCUUAUCUAAGAACAAGUCCUGCAACUAAUGAAGAGGAAAAUAAAUUAGUUAAAAGCCAACACUUAAAAUGUGCAUGAUAGAUAUAGAGACAUCAGAGGUUAAUUGCAUUCUUCAGGGCUCCCUGGUGCAGCCUUUCAUUAACUAAAUUAUCCUCUAAAUAAUAAUUUGGAUCACAAUGAAUUUCCAUCACAGGAACUUUGAUUGCCCUGUCAGUUUGCAGCUCAAUAGAUCAUAAUUUAUUAGCUUUCUGCAAUUUGGUAACAUACACUAUACAACAACAAUAACAAAGCCGAAAGUCCCAACUAGUUAGGGUCAACUUAGUAACAUACACUAUAAGUAAAACAAAUUGUUAUUGUCUUAAAUUUAUCAAUAGUUUAAUUCCCUCAUACCCCUCCGUCUAUAAAAACUUUUUGGAGUAUCAGUGGACAUAGAUAACCAGGAAGGCUUUCAUUUCACUGUGUCCAAAUGUUUCAGUAGAAUAGUAUAUUGCAUGCAUAAGCACAUAAAGGAACGAUGUUUAUAGAGACUAAAGAUGAGAAGCAACUGCACAAAACAUCAUAGCACCCUGCAGAGUCCUGAUGUAAGAAAGCAACUGCAUAUUGCUAAGAAUUCAAUAUAAGCCAGGAGCUUGCAUCUGAAGAUGUUGCAACAUCAUGUUUUACCCAUUUUGCAAAAAAAUGUCUAGAAAAGCACAACUCUGAUAUUAACCGGGCAGUUUAUUUUCAUCAAUUUGUGAUUUCCAGCUUUAUCGAGGGUGUCAUACUCCAGAACUCCUAAUCUUGUCAUAUCUACUAUUACAGAUUAACCUAAUAUUAUUUAGUGGAUUUUAUGAAUUUGAUGGGUUCUUAAUUUUUUUAACUCGAGAAAAUCAAUUUUUUAAUACUACUUGUUUUAUUCACAUCUUUUUGAUUUCCUAUUUUUCAAACUUGUUUUGGUUUAACUGCCUUACCAGCCUUUGGUAGUAGCUUUGGGUCCAUAUGGGACCCACUUCCAAGGCCAAUGACACACAGGCAAAUUUGUUGAAUGAUAGAAACAACUAGCUAUUGGACACAUUUGAGAGUAGGUUUUCCUAGUAUAAAUUUCCCUACCUCCUUAUGGCAUACCCACUAUGACUUACCUAGCCAUGAUGGGAGUUGAAGAGGAGUCCCUCAUAGGACCAUUUGUUAAAGCCAUCUCUAGCUCCAAAAAAGGUAAGGUAAGAGACACGGCAAGCCAAAACAAGAUUGAGGAAUUAGGAUAAAAAUUUAUGCAAAAGUAAGGUAAAAAUUCAAUAACAAAAACAUCUUGCAUUUGUUAAUGAGAACAAAAUUCUUCUUGCACCCCUUACAGUACAGACUUAAGAUUCAUUGCAUUGCUGAUUGUUUCCAUUAGCAAAAACUGAAAAUAUAAUGAUAUGCACAAGUGCAAAGCAUAAAUACAAGUGGUGGAACUUACUUCAUCAAUGUCUAAGCCAAUCUGAGAAUCAAUUCCAUCACCAAAUCUUUCUGUAAUAACAAACUUAAUAAAUAAGGUUCAACCUACUUGCAACGAGAAGCAUGAAAUUAAACUGCAGAUGUGUUAAGUGCUCUGACUAGAUAACAGACCAUCAGAUCCAAAUUGCAUAGAUGAAAACUCCAUGCCACCAACAGUAUCUUGAAGUGUAAUCUGCUCUUUUGUACUGACAUGGUGGUCAACAAAGUCACUGCCAAAACAUAAGUCAAACUCGUAAAGGACCAGAAAUGUCAAUUACAGCAUGCUGACAACUCCAUCAUCAUAAUCAUAAAUAAAAAAUUAGAACUGUGCAUAUAUGCAAUACUAAAAGCAAUGUCAAGUACAGACCCACUAUCAGGCAGCUCAAAAUCAUCGAGAUGAAAAGUUUCAGGUAAGGUUAUUGAAUGAUAGGGAGCAGUUGAUUCUUCUGGGGGAAGAUCUACUGCUGCUGAUCUGAAGGCCUGUUUUAUCUUGAGCAAAGCCUCACUGCAAUCAUGGAAGAGAUAGUUCACCUUCCUAGAAUAUAUUCUCACCACACCUAGCAGAAGAUGGCUAGAUAACCGAAGUGCAAUUGGGACAUCAGGACAAAGAAUUGAAUCUGCAUGGCAAAUUAAAAGAAAAAGAUAUUAAGGAAACAAGAGAAAUAACUUAUUAAAGCUAAGUUUGGAAAAAGCAUCAUAUAAAUGCGGCAAGAAAUCAUUAAGGCUGCUUCAAUCAUGCAAUUACUACUAUCUUUAAAUUUACAGAUUCUAUGAAAUUUAUAAGCUAUCUUAUAAUACAUGGUUGCAAUUAUUUCAAGAAGCAACUAAUUUUUGUUGUGUCAUUGGAGAAAUAGGUUGCUAACUAAUAUUCCAAAAUAAAUAUACAAUGGAUAAUCAAAACCUAAUAAUUGCUAAACCUAAGAAUUUGUAAUGUCAUUGGAGUUUGUUGUGUCAAACUCCAACUUUGAAAAUCUGAUUAUUAAUUGCUAAACAUAAGAAUUUAACAAGUAACUGCAUUCAGUUUUUGUUUUAUGGCUACUCGGUGUUUUGCAAGCGAAAAUUUAGUUUAAAUUUAUUUAUGUUGCUCAAGUGUGAACAUAUGUAAGCAGCAGAAUUUUCAAUCUCUUCCUUGAACUUAAUCUGUAUGGCACACAUACACACCAUGGACGUGAUAUUUAUUUAAGCUCCAAAGAAGAAUUUAAUAUAGCUGCAGGUUCUUCCACAGUUCCACCAAUUAAGUACCAAACUUCACCCGAUGUGCAUCAACAUGUAUCUAGGUCAACUUGAUGCUAAUAAUAUAAAAACAAAAAAUGUAACUCUUUGACCCUCGUUAGUGUGGGCUAUUCUCAAUCUUGAUCUACAUUAGUAGAUUUAGGUCAGGGUCGAACGAUUUGUAAACCUUGUUUUCUUUUUCGUGCAUAGAAGAAGAAGCUAGACUUCUUGUGAUGUCAAAUAUACCUUUAAAAAACUUUUGUAUAUAUCCUUUGUUAAGAAUAUUUACCUAAAAUUUAACUUUUAGCAAAGGUACAAUUUUUCUAAUUACCCCUAUAUUUUCUGUUUUUUAUUUUUAAUGUUCAUUAGAGCCAACCAAUUCCUACCAAUCCUGAUCCUGGAUCCCUGAAUCAACCAUCCCAAUCCCAAUUAUGGGAAGCUUUGGUAUCAACAUAAAGUUCAGAAAGUCAAUGCCCAUCCAACACAUCAAAAUCAUAUGAAGUUAUGAACAUCUUAAACGAAAAAUAGUGAUGCUCAGAUUUGUACUAGGCAAUUUUAAUAUAUAUACCUGAUCAUAAAAUUGUUGAGAUAAAAACUAUAAAUUGUUAAAUGCCUAUUGAAGGGGAUAAGGAGUGCACAAUUCAAAGAUGUUUCCCCUCUUAAUUAUUGUGAUAUUUUUUAAUUAUCAAGUUGAAGAAAAUCAUUUUUGAAAUUACCAAUAUUGUUUUGUUAUACACGUCUUGGAAAAAUCAAUCAUAAUUUCAUGCAUAGUUUUCAAAUAUUCAAGAUCAGGCAACAGAUAGCCUAAUGUUCUAGCACUAGCUUAGGCUUGUAGGCCAUUGCAAAGGCAAUUAUUUCCUGAGCAAAUUAUUAUAGAUAUGUUUGCUGCAACUUCAUACACACACACACCCCCCUAAAACUAGCAUCCAUCACAUACUUAGCACUUAAUGAGCAUGAACAUUUGUGGAAAGUUGUAUGAUAUAAAAACAUGAUAAAAAGGGAACUCACUGAUACAAAAUAUCAGAAGGAUGGCAUGAACGUUCUUCGACUAGCACAACAUAACAACAGUUCACAGCUUGAAAUUAUCAUUCUUAUAUAAUACAUGCUUUGCCCUAUGUACACAAUUGUACAUGUGUACAUAAACCAGCCCAAGCUCAGGUGUCCUUACUUUUGUCUAUUACCUACAUGAUAGAUAGCCAAGCAACCACACAACUUUUGUAAUUCAUGUUCACGCAUAACAAAUAAACAUGGAAAAGUACCAUAUAAACAAAAUAGCUGCUGCCCAUUCCUUUUCUCCACCUAAAUUCUGAAUCAAUUUGAAUAAGCACAAACAAAAAUCUUAAUGGACAGUAUUUCUGUUAAAAUACCAAAAAUCAGAAUCUUUUACUGCAUUUAUAUGGACUUGCCUACAUUUCAUACAUGUUAAAUACCAGAAUAAGUUUAUCAAAGUUUUACUUUCUUUUCUAAUUUGUCUCAAUAUUUCUACAAUUUAGUCAUUAUCACAUGAACACAACCACCACACCAACCUGUCGGUUCAUUUUAAUUUAAAGCAGCUGCUAACAAAGGUUUAGUUUAGUCAAAUAUUAACUUGAUUCUUAUAUCAAAAAGAAAAUUAUCAAAUAUUAAUUUCAUUCUUAUAGAACAAAGAAAAUUUGUAGCCACAGUUGUUAGCUUUGCCUAGCAAAGAGAAAUGACAUAUAAGAUGUUUCGAUUCAUUCGAUAUGAAAAUCUCACAUUAAAAAUGAGCUACUUCAUAGUAAUCGAACACAUCUAAACUUUCAAUAGCCUCCUAGUAAGAUGAAGCAUACCAAUAGUCAUCCAAAAAAUGUGUUUAAGGCAUAUUUCUCAUGUAGCCCACUCUACAUAGUUGAUGUUCCCUAAGGAGAGCUGUAGUAGCUGAACCCAAAUGGUCGGCACAUUAUGGUUUGUUGCUGUUAUUCUUAUACAGACAUGCAUACAUGGGCAAGGAUAUAGACACAUCAACAGGUUCCCUAUUGUAGCCUUCAUAAAUUGAGAUGAAAACAUUAUGUUAACGUGUGCUAUGAGAUUAAACUGGCAGGAGAUUAAAUGCUAUUAAUAAGCAUAACUCACCACAAACCUAAUAUAUUCAAGGUUACUUAUAUACAAUCAGAUCAUUCGGUAAGAUUACUUAAUGUAAGAGGAAAAAAAAAUUUAACACUCAUCAACUAGGAUGAACAAGUUUAGCACAACCACAACGUAUGAGCAAUAAAGCCAUGAAUGGCAAGAUUGUAGAUGAAUCCCAACAAAAGAACAAAUUUGGUCAUAACAAACAAAAUAUAAUGAUAAUGCUCAUGUAAGAGGAUAAAAUCCAGAUCAUUAAAUACCGGGGUGCAUCGCUAAAAUAGGUACCAGAGAUGUAAAUUAUGAUCAGUGUGAACUGUCCAAAAUGGAUGGCAGAAUCUUCCUUAAGCAGAGACAUUAAUAUCCCAGUCAACAAUGUACUGUGUCCUAGUUUUCCUAGGUGACAGUAUUAAGACUGGCAGAUACAAGAGGCUACAUCCAAACCCUAUCAUAUCAAUGCUGAUAUCAGUCGGUACCUCCAUCAUACCAGUGUCCAAAUCAAAGAACAGAAAUAAAUUUCAAAAAUUCAAAACUUUUGUGUGCUUGAGAAAACAAUGUGAGUCACAGACAAACCAAACACCAACUUUUGGGUCUUAUUACUCUACUUCACCACUGAAAAACCAGAUGCCUCUGGGGAUUACUUCACUAAUUUAAGGUGGAAUAGCAAUGCAACAGGAUUAAACACAACUGAAACAAGUUAAACUCAAAAGAUUAACAAGCAGAAGUCUAAGAAAUUGAAGAAUUACAAGAUACCGACCUACAGAGACACCAAUAUCAGUAUCUGCCACCUGAUUCUUCCUCAGCUUCCGUUCCAAAUGCGCCGCAAUCCAUAUGGUCCCCAGCGGCCCCUUCUUGGCCAAAAUAAACUGAGAAUAGAACAUUUUACUCCUCCUCCGCUUCCAGAAAACCCUAGAAGCCCGUAGCAAGCUCCCUCCGAAGAUCAAUCGCCCCAAUUCAAAGCAUUCUCACAACCCUAAGGCCCGCAGCUCCCACCAAAACGAGCGCCAAGAUCCGAGCUUUUUCGAAACCCCAGCUGCCCCAGCACCUCGGAGUUGCCCAAGACUCCACCUUUCGCCGAUUCCGACAGCAGGAACCGAACUCGAGCUCCAGAAUCACCAAUCUUCACAUGCGGGCGCGUCGACCAUGGAGCCCAUCAGAACUUGACGUUUUGAAGCCCUAAAACCGAUGAAAACCAUUGGCGGGAUCUUAAAAACGGGAGGGCUCGAACGACGGAUCCGUACGGGUCCGGAUCGAAGGGAUAGAAUCAUAGAACUCGACGGAAUGACAGAGAAACGCAACACUAAAAGGCCAAAGGGAAAAGAGAACACUGCUUUCGGCUUUUGGAGUCCGGUGGAGUGCUCUCGGAUUACCAACGAGCAAUGAUAGCGAGAAAGUAUCGUGUCGGUCUCUCCACAUCUCGUGAUCUAACGGCUGAAAGUGACUUUGAUGCUCAUACGGCGCGUUGUACGCCAUUAGAUAUAAGCGUGGGAGAUAUCGCGAGGAUUAGACGACGGCCACUUGGACAUGACGCGGGUUUUUAGUUAUGACAGUCUCGAAGGGGCAAUUUAGUCAUUUGGCGACGCAUGGACUCGAACUUGAGACAAGAUUCUAUCCAAUGAGAAAUCUCCACGUUUACACGAGCUUUAUGAUGGGUUCGUUGGCACGUGCACUGCACACGAGUAUAACACAUAUUUAAAGCAAAUUAAAUAUAUAGACAUUUUAUAAUUAAUUUUACCAAUCAUAAAAAUCAAAGGAGAAACAUCUAUGGGGUAUCAAGGGCUUAUAUGCGUAUUUUAGAACUUUUGAGGGGUUUUUCUUUUUGCUUUUUUUUUCUCAAUUUAUUCUUUUGCUUAAUUUAAUUUUUAUGAUAACUUCAAUAAGUUUACAAGUGUUAUAUAUAUAUAUAUAUAUAUAUAUAUAUAUAUAUAUAUAUAUAUAUAUAUAUAUAUAUAUAUAUAUNNNNNNNNNNNNNNNNNNNNNNNNNNNNNNNNNNNNNNNNNNNNNNNNNNNNNNNNNNNNNNNNNNNNNNNNNNNNNNNNNNNNNNNNNNNNNNNNNNNNNNNNNNNNNNNNNNNNNNNNNNNNNNNNNNNNNNNNNNNNNNNNNNNNNNNNNNNNNNNNNNNNNNNNNNNNNNNNNNNNNNNNNNNNNNNNNNNNNNNNNNNNNNNNNNNNNNNNNNNNNNNNNNNNNNNNNNNNNNNNNNNNNNNNNNNNNNNNNNNNNNNNNNNNNNNNNNNNNNNNNNNNNNNNNNNNNNNNNNNNNNNNNNNNNNNNNNNNNNNNNNNNNNNNNNNNNNNNNNNNNNNNNNNNNNNNNNNNNNNNNNNNNNNNNNNNNNNNNNNNNNNNNNNNNNNNNNNNNNNNNNNNNNNNNNNNNNNNNNNNNNNNNNNNNNNNNNNNNNNNNNNNNNNNNNNNNNNNNNNNNNNNNNNNNNNNNNNNNNNNNNNNNNNNNNNNNNNNNNNNNNNNNNNNNNNNNNNNNNNNNNNNNNNNNNNNNNNNNNNNNNNNNNNNNNNNNNNNNNNNNNNNNNNNNNNNNNNNNNNNNNNNNNNNNNNNNNNNNNNNNNNNNNNNNNNNNNNNNNNNNNNNNNNNNNNNNNNNNNNNNNNNNNNNNNNAGAUAUUUGCACUCUGUCAAAGUAAGGAACCAUGGCAUAUAUGUUUGGAACGGAUUCCAUUUUGUUUAAAAAAUAUUCUAUUUUGAGAGAUUUGAAAAAGCAUUAUCUCGUUGAAAGGUUAUAUAUAUUUAUCGUUUCUCAACGUAUUUCUUUACAAAAAGGCUCAAUUUUUUUUGUCUCUUUUCCGACGAUAAAUAUUUUUCAAAACAUGAAGUAUGAAUCAAACUCAUUUUUGAAUCGAAACUGAGAUACCGAUGCAAGUUCUUCCCUUCUGAAUCAGAUAGAUUCAUAUCUGAAAGAGGCUGACAAUAAGUUCUUCCAAAAUUGACUCUUUGUUUCUCUGUUAGAGGUGUUGCAGAAAUGUCUGCGAUCGAGUAAAUAACUAUAUGAAUGAAUAGCUCGGAUCGAAUUGAAAAACAGAAAGAUUUGUACAAGUUAUAUGUUUUAUUACUACUUUGUGAAAAAUCUUUAGGUACGAAUAUGUUAGAUACCUAUGAGGUGAAAUAGUCUCUCUCUCCAAAAAAAAAUUAUUUUUUUUUAUGAACGCACGAAGAAAAUAUUUUGUUGCGAAUGAACAAGGUAGUGAGGAAUUGUCCAUAUGUAAGAUCAUAAUUAUUGAUAUGAGUCAUUUCCUUAUAUAUAUAUAUCAAUAUCUAUAAUUGUCUUUUUAUUUCACCUGGUAUUUAAUUUAUAUUUAUGUAAAUUUAGCCAGUCCGACUUUGUUGGUUCGAACCUAAAUGGAGUCAGAAUUCUAAUCCCGUCCGAUGAAUUGAUCGCCUUUUGUGGCACCAAUCUCGAUGUGUCUUUCCCAAAUUAAAAGGUUAUCUCUUGAUCUCAAGUCAACCUUUCAAAAACAAGAGUUUGACCUCAUUAAUCAUGCUCUGUUCACCUUUUAUAGUCGAUCCUCUCAUCGUUAGAUUCAUCAAGCUGUAUGUGUUUUGCUCUAAUGUUCUUCAAACUGUUGCAAAUAAUUCUACCAUCAGCUGUCAAACACAUACAUAGAAAAAUAAAUCUACUAGUGCUUCUUGUUAUUGUUCUCUGCGAAGCUCAUAUACCUUUCGGAUAAGCUUAUACUCUUUCCAAAUAGUGAUGCAUAUCUAUGAUCUUGGCUUGCUGUCUCACAAGUUCUUUGACUUGGUAGUCUCUCGAUACAAAGAUUUUCUUGAAUUGCUCAAAUGUUGAUCUUAAUAUCAACAACUAGAAAUCAACUCAGCAUAUGAUAGAAAACUGCUAAAACUAUGAGAAUUCAAUCAUAUCUUUAAUAAUAACGCGAUUGUGUGAGCAUUUCUCCCUUUUACAAGCAAGAUAUAUGUUCAAAGUCUGCAAAUUUUGCAGCUAAUUUCUCGAGAGAGACAACAGGACAUGAUUCAUAUCAGAGUAGGUAGAAGAAGGCUUUCUUCUUCUUCUUCUUAUUCUCUUGUUAUUUUCCUUCACGUUUGAUCAGGAAAACACAGCCUCUCUGAUUUGUUCACCUUCCUUAAAAGACUAUAAUGACAUGAUCUAAUCCUCAUAUCACUACAUAAAUUACUUGCAUCCGUCGAUCCUAAUUCGCACCAGUAAUGCAUGCGAGGAAGCGGCUGCUCCCAAACCUGGUCUCCUUCACCAAACGGCCAUGACUGCCAGCCUUGUCCGGCGAGAAAGGCGGCUCCGAGAAAUCCUCCGAUGAGUACUGCCUCCUGUGGCCAUUCUGGUCUUCAUGGAAGCUGCCAAGCUUGAUCGGUGUUGGCCGCAGGAACUUGUUGGUGUUGGGGAUGCCAAACCACUGCGAAGCACCAGUCGACAUCGAGCGGUAGUAUCUGGGAGCCUUUCUUCUCUUUAUUGCUCUGUAGAUGUAUGGGAUCAAUCCUUCCAUUCUUUCUUGUGUUUGAAGCUCUUUGGUCUGUGGAAAUGGAAGCUUUACUAAACCUCUCUUAUAAGAAAGAUGAGCAACGUUGUGGAGUUCCAUCUCUACGAAGGUUCUUGUGACUUUGGUUCGUGGAUGACUCGUGGAUCAUCAUGGAAGGAGAAUCUUAUCUUGGCUGGCAAUACAUUCAUGUGGACAAGAACAAAAAGUUCGAAUAAGAUAAAGAUCUUCCUGUCACCCACUGUUAGUAGAUAUUAAGAAUAAAGAUGACAG